GACAAGUCUGGUCCAUCCAUUGUCCACAAGAAGUGCUUCUAAGGUGCUGCUGCUAUUUUUACAUCUGUUCGCAAGUUCUUUUUUAUUUUUUUGUUCUUCCCGCUAAAGCUAUUAUGUCGUCCACAGUGAACGCAUGUCUGCUGCUAUAGCCAAGUCUUUGAGAUGGGGUUAUCAAAGAAGGGCAAUUAAAAACAUUGUACCGCUGAUACUAUUUCAUGUUUCUAGUGCAAGCCUCUUUUAUAAGUUGACAAACUCGAUUUGUAAAUAUGUUUGGGACUCAACUAGUGGUUAGAGUUCUGAUUUUAUAAGAUUUGUGUACAGAAAAUCAAAGUAGAAAGAUAACUCGUGAUGGUUGAAUAAGCUCGAAGAAGUGGAUUUGAAUUUCAAAUCGUGUCUUUUUUUUUUAUGUGUGUGAGAUGUUUGAAGUGUUGUUUAGAUUUGUUGGAAUAGUCUAAAGAGAUUGUCUCUAUAAAAUUUGAAGACAUUUGAUGGAGAUCUGAUUAGAUGAUUUUGAACAACAAUUGCAACUGAAGAUGGAUAUGUAUAUUAUAUUUGUAGUUAGCAACGUGUUGUAUAUUUUUAUAGUCGAUAUAUUGUUUUCUCAUUCGGUGUUUGGUAUCCAUAUUGGAGUUUGACUAAAUUCGGAUUUCCUCAUUUCAACGGGCGGUGCUCUUGACAUGAUUUUUUCCAUUCCACGGCUCAUGCUCCAAAAUUCUAAUUAAGGAUAGAAAAAUCUCAACUAUCUCACCACAACUCAUAUCAGUUAUAUUGGGUAUACAAGUGUAAACUAAUAAUACUAUGAAACUAAUAAUAUUUAAUUUAUUUUAGAGGUAAGAUAAGGACAAAAUGGUAAUCCAACUUAGAGGUUAGGAGCUUCACACUUGUAAUAAUACUAAUAUAAUAUAUGGGCACGUGUGUUCCCAGUUACUUUUUAUAUAUAGAUACGUUAGAAUGAUUACAAUUUUAUGAAAGAAUGCGUGUAAUUAGUAAUAAAAUACAACAAUUACAAAUUAAUCUUUAAGAGUUUGACAAGAAACACCAAAUGAGAGGUGAAUUUUAAUGUUUAAAAUUAAUUAAGCAACCAACAUAAAUUUUGAACUAUAAUUGGUAGUUAGCAAACUUCCAAUAAAAUCACAAAGGGCUAAUUUGAGCUCAACAAAGAUAUACACACUUACUACAAUAAGAAAUUAAUAGAAAAUUAAAUUAAAGAAGUUUAAUGGAAGAGAAAACACACAAAAAGAUAGAGAAGGAAAAAAUACAACAUACACAUUUUUUUUAAGACUUAUAUCAUAACAAUAUAGAUGGAAAAAGAAGUACAAUACAUAAUUUUCAAGUUCUUGUGGAGGCUUAAUUAUCCAUAACCAAUCAAAAUUCAAAAGUCAUCUUCGUCGAGUCAAACUAAAACAUGAGCCAAAUAGUACAAUAAUGAUAUAAGUCGUUACUUUAACUAUAGAAUGAAAAUGAUAAUAUUCUUGAGUAGGGGUCUCAUGAAACAAAAAAAAAAUGAAUUUAUAUAGAUAAAAAUUAAGGAAUACCAAAAGAUAAGUUUUAAAUUAAAUGUUUGAAGGUUAUAUGGUGUUUUUUGGUCUGCACCUAAUUCAAUAAAGGAAUAGAAAAAGUCACUAAAGUGGCUGCUAGUGUUCUCUAUGUAUGUAUCAGUUAUAAUUUUCAUCAAAUAGAUGAAUGCCAUCUUGCAUUUAAUUAAUCAAGUGAAGUUAAUGUAUUGAAUUAAUCAUCUUUUUUUACUUCAUUGUGUAAAGUAUUUAAAUUGAAACUGACUUAGCACCUUCCCAUUUUUAGGAUUUAGUAUAUAAUAGGAUAUAAUUACUACUACAAUAUUUAAUUAAUUAAAUAAUCUUUUUUAUAAUUUUUAUUUAAUAUAUAGGGGUAAAACGGUAAUUCAACUUUGAACAUAAAUUCUUUCCAUUUUUAAUAAUACUAGUUUUUGUGAACGUGUGUUGCACGUUUAAUUUGUCCCUUGUAAUUACUACAAGAUUUCUAUAUAAUUUUUUUAAAAAAUAAAUAAAUUUCAUAAUAGAAAAUAUGCAUGUAUUUCACGCUACUUAGUAUUAAUAUUUGUAAAUGAUUUAAAUACAAUUACAAUAUGUAUAAAUAGUUAUUCAUAAAAUUAAGUAAUCAAAAAGAGAAGGAGUCUAAACACCAAAUUAAAGCUUAACAUCAAAUGGACAAUCUGACAAUCAUAUCAAAUAGUUUUAAGAAAUUGUAUCAUUUUGAUACGUAAAUUUCACAUGAGUUAUUAGUUGUGAAGAUGUCAUAUAAUGUUUGAAGAUAAUAUAUAAAAAUUUAUCAAUAUCCAUUACAUUAUUAUAGCAUCACAAUAAAUUAUACAACUUCAGAUGUACAUUAUGUUCAUCCCACAAAUAUUCGAAAAUAAGAUGAAAUAGAGUAGACUAAAAACAAUGAAAUAGCUAAUGAAUUCUAAAACCUUCAAAUAACAAAAAUUAAAGAGAGAAACCGUUCCAGUUUAAAAGAAUGGAGGAACUUCCUCAAUAACUAACAAAAGCAUAAAUAGAUUUACCUCUUUUUUAUUGCAUAUGUGAUGAGCAAUAACAUCCAUCAACAAUUAUACAUUAGAAUAACUACGUGUGUGCAUUAACAUAAAGUGAUAGUGAUGAGCAAUAUAAUUACAUCCACCAAUAAUCAUCCAUCAACAAUUAUACAUCGGAAUAACAAAGUGUAUGCAUUAAUAUAAAGUGAUUUUGAAAACAAUUUUUUGGUACGUAUAAUUAUAAGUCAUGAAUUAUAAAAGUCAUUUAAAAAUUGAUGAUAUACAUAACAUCUAUGAGAAUUAGAUUGGUUAAAGUUGGGAUAUGUAAAGUUUCUAACUAAAAUUUAAUUAUGUGUGUCAUAUUAAGAUGUCUGGUAAUUCAAAGGACAUUUUGUUGUUUAAUGUUCAAGGAUAUUUCAGUUUUUAAAGGAUAUAAAUAUUUUUGACCAUUGCCUCAGUGAGGUCGAGGAAGCAUCUUCAGAUCAGGAUGAAAUCUUUAUAUUUGCAUUCAAACAUUGUAAAAGAAAUCUAGUAUAGGUAGGAAUUGAGAUAAUUUGCUCCAGAAAGAACUCUUCUUGCAUUUUGUUUCCUUUGUUGCUCUGCAUAUGACCUUCAAUUUCAGUCAUUGUUUCAAAUUUUGUUUGCUCUGGUUCGACUCUGUGUUUAGUGUUUCUGAGUUUUUCUUCUCUUUUUUUUUUCAUCAGACUCUACUCUAUUUGUCGGCAAUCUUCUUUCUUUGUUUACCUGCUUUUGUUCUUGGGUGGAUCGAAUAUAAACAUUUGUGUACAUCUUUGGCUCUUCUUUGUUUGAUUCACUUUCUUCAAUUAGAUCAGAAAAUAUUUCUCUGAAGGCAUGUUGAUUUUAUUAUUUUACACGAUUUCUGUUUGUGUUACUUUUUCGAUUUCUAAUUUGUUUUAUUCAUGUUUUUUACAGUUUAAUUUUUGAUGCUUCCGAGUUUCAGCAGUCCUGAUUCCUGAUGUUUUCUGGGUGAGCAUGGUUCUCUCCUUUUUCAAGUUAACAACUUAUUUUAUAUUACUUUUGCUGAGAUUGAUUGUGAGUUGCAAGUUUCGCAAUGCAAUUUUUGUAUUAUGAAUCCUUGAUGGACUAUGGUGAAAAUUUACUUUUCUUUGUAGAAAAAACAUCAAAGAAUUAUACUACUAUACAAAUCAGGUUUGUUAAUAUUGAUACUGCUGAUGUUAAUAAUCACUUGGCUAUUGUGAAAUAUGUUGAGGAUAUUUACAAAUUUUAUAAGCUCACAAAGGUCUGGUGAAUAUCAGAUGUCUCUGUUUCAAUGCUGGGGUGAUUUUACUGUUAUAGUGGAUACGGUGAGUUACUUUAAUGUGACAAACAAUAGUUUUGUGAUUUUAUUGUGUAGUGUAUAAAAUUCAUGUUAUUUUGAUAAUUUGGCUGAUUCAGGAUGAACGUUGAUUGUAUUAUUACAUGGAUUCACAACCACACAUCAACGCCAGGGUCAAAGCUAGCAAUUUUUCUGGAAGGUUGAACUACUUGAAAAACAUGAAAGCUACAUUACUUCACACAGUUGCGAGAUGAAGAGAAACUUUUUAGGAUCUAUUGUCAAUAUUUUUAGCAUUGUUAGUACUGUAACUCUCAACUAAAAGCUGGACAAAGUUACAAUUUUCAUCAAAAAUCGGUAAUGGCAGAGGGGCGUUUCUUUGGUUAUUGCUCAAAACUACAACUGCUAGUGAUUAUUUCUCAUGUAGUGAUUUUUUUAUGGAAUCAAUGUGUUAUCAAAACAUUUACGUUUAGUUAUGUUAUAACACAAACAGUUGAGGAUUGCACAACCUUACUACUAAAUGUUCAGAAAUAGACUUCUUUCUUGAAGGAGGAUUGCCAUUCAAUUGACGACUUGUGAUCAUCAAUUGCGAGAAGCUGGUGAGUGGCCGAAACGAUUGGCAUCUCAAAGAGUUUAUAUGUGAUCUAGCAGAACACAAUAGAUUGGGAGGGGGUGGAGACAGGUUUUUCUGAUUAAAUUUGGCACUAGUACUCGAUUUCUUGAGUUUUUGCUUCAGUAAAAGGGAAAAAAGGCUAUUUCUUAGUCUGUAUUUUGUAGUUUUAGCAAACAAGCAUAUUGCUAACUGGUGUCAAUAAACCAAGAGUGUAUUGUACCUUUUUCAGGACAAUUAUGUUAUAUUAUAUGUUGGAUGUUUAUUUGUUAUUUCAUUUCCAUAAAACGGUGGAUCGUUGAUUUCAGUUCAUUCAUUGGGACAGAGUUGUACAUGGACCUAAAUAGGGACCUUACCACUAUCUUGUAGGGUAGAGAGGUUGUUUCCGAUAGACCAUCGGCUCAAGUAAACAUAGAAAAAAUAAUACCUUAGAGAAAAGGAAAAUGGAACAGAAUCCAAUUCUAAAACGUAUUCAUGAUAUGUUAGACCCAAUUAAGCACUACAAUGAGCUGUUGAAAAAUGAACAGUGCAUAAAGCAAAAGUAGUGAAUAAACAUAAAGCAAAAGAUAUCUUCCUCCAUUAUUCAAUUAGUGGAGUCAUACUUUUUGAAAAGAGAAAAGAGGACAGUUUUGCUUCUUGUAGAUUAGCUGAAACAUAGUUGUACUAAUUUCAAGCAAUCACUGAUCAUUCUUGUUUGCAAAUUACUCUCAACAUUCAACAGGUAAAGAAGUUCUCUCUUAGUAGUUGAAGCUAGAUAGAAAAAUUUGUCUUCUCAUCAAAAUCAUUUUGUGUUUUUCAGAAAUGGAGAUUGGCUUAGCAGUUGGUAGUGCAUUUCUCUCUUCAGCUUUGAAUGCUCUCUUUGAUAGGCUUGCUCCUCACGGUGAUCUGCUCAACAUGUUUCAGAAGCAUAAGCAUCAUGUUCGGCUCUUAAAGAAGCUGAAAAUGACUUUGCGUGGUCUUCAGAUUGUGCUAAGUGAUGCAGAGAAUAAGCAAGCAUCAAAUCCAUCUGUGAGUGACUGGCUUAAUGAGCUUCGAGAUGCUGUCGACUCUGCUGAAAACUUAAUAGAAGAAGUCAAUUAUGAAGCUUUGAGACUUAAGGUGGAAGGUCAACAUCAGAAUUUUGCAGAAACAAGCAACCAGCAGGUAAGUGACCUCAAUCUGCGCUUGAGCGAUGAAUUUUUCCAUAACAUAAAGGACAAGUUGGAAGACACUAUUGAAACAUUAAAGGAUUUGCAAGAGCAAAUUGGUCUCCUUGGCUUAAAGGAGUAUUUUGGUUCCACGAAACAAGAAACUAGAAGACCUUCAACUUCUGUGGAUGAUGAAUCUGAUAUCUUUGGUAGGCAGAGCGAAAUAGAGGAUUUGAUUGACCGUUUAUUGUCUGAAGAUGCAAGUGGGAAAAAGCUGACAGUAAUUCCUAUUGUGGGAAUGGGUGGCCUGGGUAAGACAACACUUGCUAAAGCCGUUUACAAUGAUGAGAGGGUGAAGAACCACUUUGGUUUGAAAGCUUGGUAUUGUGUUUCUGAGGGAUAUGAUGCUUUGAGAAUAACGAAAGGGUUACUUCAAAAAAUUGGCAAAUUUGACUCAAAGGAUGUCCACAACAAUCUUAAUCAGCUUCAAGUCAAAUUGAAGGACAGCUUGAAGGGAAAGAAGUUCCUUACUGUUUUGGAUGAUGUGUGGAAUGACAACUACAACGAGUACAUCAGAAUUUUGCAGAAACAAGCAACAAGCAAGUGACCUCAACCUUUGCUUGACUGAUGAAUUUUUCCUUAACAUAAAGGACAAGUUGGAAGACACUAUUGAAACAUUAAAGGAUUUGCAAGAGCAAAUUGGUCUCCUUGGCUUAAAGGAGUAUUUUGGUUCCACGAAACAAGAAACUAGAAGACCUUCAACUUCUGUGGAUGAUGAAUCUGAUAUCUUUGGUAGGCAGAGCGAAAUAGAGGAUUUGAUUGACCGUUUAUUGUCUGAAGAUGCAAGUGGGAAAAAGCUGACAGUAAUUCCUAUUGUGGGAAUGGGUGGCCUGGGUAAGACAACACUUGCUAAAGCCGUUUACAAUGAUGAGAGGGUGAAGAACCACUUUGGUUUGAAAGCUUGGUAUUGUGUUUCUGAGGGAUAUGAUGCUUUGAGAAUAACGAAAGGGUUACUUCAAAAAAUUGGCAAAUUUGACUCAAAGGAUGUCCACAACAAUCUUAAUCAGCUUCAAGUCAAAUUGAAGGACAGCUUGAAGGGAAAGAAGUUCCUUACUGUUUUGGAUGAUGUGUGGAAUGACAACUACAACGAGUGGGAUGACUUGAGAAAUAUAUUUGUGUACAAGGAGAUAUAGGAAGUAAGAUCAAGAUCAUUGUGACGACACGCAAAGCGAGUGUUGCCUUGAUGAUGGGAAAUGAGCAAAUUAGCAUGGACAGUUUGUCUAAUGAAGCCUCUUGGUCUUUAUUUAAAAGACAUGCAUUUGAAAACAUGGAUCCUAUGGGACAUCUGGAACUUGAAGAGGUCGGAAAACAAAUUGCAGCUAAGUGCAAAGGACUGCCCUUAGCUCUGAAGACGCUCGCUGGCAUGUUACGCUCCAAAUCAGAGGUUGUAGAGUGGAAACGUAUUCUGAGAAGUGAAAUAUGGGAGCUGCGAGACAAGGACAUAUUACCAGCGUUGAUGUUGAGCUACAAUGAUCUUCCCGCACAUUUAAAGCGAUGUUUUUCCUAUUGUGCAAUAUUUCCUAAAGAUUAUUCAUUUAGGAAAGAGCAAGUUAUUCAUCUUUGGAUUGCCAAUGGUCUCGUACCAAAGGAAGAUGAAAUAAUUGAAGAUUCAGGCAACCAAUACUUUCUCGAAUUGAGGUCAAGAUCAUUAUUCGAAAGGGUCCCAAAUCCUUUUGAAGGGAACAUAGAGAAAUUCUUAAUGCAUGACCUUGUCAAUGACUUAGCCCAAAUUGCAUCUUCAAAACUUUGUAUCAGGUUGGAAGAGAGCCAAGGAUCUCAUAUGUUGGAAAAAAGUCGGCACUUAUCUUAUUCAAUGGGAAAAGGUGGUGAGUUUGAGAAAUUAACACCCCUCUACAAAUUGGAGCAGCUGAGGACAUUGCUUCCGAUAUUUUUUGAUGUCAAUCAUGACUCUCUAAGCAAGAGGGUGCAGCAUAACAUACUGCCAAGACUAAGAUCCUUAAGGGCAUUAUCAUUGUCUCAUUACAGGAUUAAGGAGUUGCCGGAUGACUUGUUUAUCAAAUUAAAGCUCCUGAGAUUUUUGGAUAUUUCUAAGACAGAGAUUAAUAAGUUGCCAGAUUCCAUUUGUGGAUUGUAUAAUUUAAAGACACUUCUCCUGUCAUCUUGUGAUUAUCUUGAGGAGCUACCACUGCAGAUGGAGAAGUUGAUCAACUUGAGUCAUCUUGACAUAAGCAACACUUCUCGCUUGAAGAUGACACUACAUCUGAGCAAGUUGAAAAGCCUCCAAGUGCUAGUGGGAGCCAAGUUUCUUCUAGAUGGUUGCUCACACCAUUACUAGAAUUUGACGAGGGAGAAUACUGGCCAAAUAUUGCUCAAAUUCCCACCAUUGUGAUUGAUCGGGAGUUCCUAUGAUGAUUAAAACAAAUGGCUCUCCAACUGAUGUAAGUUAUUCUUUUCCUUUUUUAAAAAUCUUGUUGAGCAGUCUAUUGCUCAAACCACGGCUACUGACCAAAAAUUGUUCAUAUUUUUUUUUUCUAUUUAGAAACGGGAGUUUGGAAGGAUUCACAAUGGCAAGCCUGAUUCCUGAAGUUUUCUAGGUGAGCAUGGUUGUCUCCUUUUCAAGUUAACAACUUAUUUAUAUUAAUUUUGCUGCUAUUGAUUGUCAGUUGCAAGUUUCGCAAUUCAAUUUAUGUGUUACUACAUCUGGGAACGUGCGUUGCACGUUUAUCCCAAAAUACUUUAUAUAAAUUUUGUAUUGCAAAUAACAUAUUCUAUCCCCUCUAAAUCUAUAGUAUUUACUAAAAAAAAAUUCAUCACAUAUAUCUUUAUAAAUAUAUAUAUAUAUAUAUGAUUAUUAAAUUGACUAAAAGUGUAUAGAGUAAAAAUAACUUCCAAGUAAUAGUCAUCAGUUAGAUGAGAUAAUAGAUGUAGAUAGAGAUAUAGAAAUAUUCAAGCAAAAUAAAUUAAAAUUAUUAAAUCCACAAGUUCUAUAUAAUACAGGACUAUUUUCGUCAAUAGCACACUUAUACAGACAUUAUAGAGAAGAACAAUUGAGUGUAUCAGAAAACGAUAGUGAAAGUAUAAAUUUAAUUAGUAAAUAAUCUAUGCAAGAAAUACAAAAAAGACGAAUGAAUCUCAUGCAUAUGAGAUUGGUAGUAAUCGGACUUAAAGGUUUAACUAGAAAAAAUUUAGGUACUAAAGUAUUAAUCACUUUAUAUGAUAGUAGAUGGUCAGAAUCUAAAAGAUCCAUAAUAGGUUUAACAGAAGUCGACAUGAGUAAUAAUGGAGGAAUUUUUUACUGUAGUCCAGAUUUCAUGAUAAAUUCAAAAGAAUUUGGAAAAUACAUAAAAAUAGGCAUACAAACCAAGGGUUACGAAGAAAUGAACUGUGGAAACAAUCUAUUAGUUUGUGUUGGCUUCAUAGGAAAAUUAGCAACCAACAGUAGUUCAAGGUUUAAAAUAAAAAUAGACAAUGCGGUAGGCAUAAUGGGAAAUAAAGGAAUAAAAUUAAUGAAACUUUUAAAAAUAAAUUCAGAAGAAUAUGCAGGUAGAGAAUGGAAUUUAGAAAAAUUCUAUAAAAAAGAAGUGUUAAGACCAAAUGACCACCUCACAUACACAAAUAAUAAAGGUGAGACAUCAAUCAGAUUCACUGAUUAUAAAUAUACAAAUCAAAAGAAAUAGAUGAAGAUUUAGAAGAUAAUGAAUCAACCAUAAAUAUGGAAGGAAUGAAUGUUCAGAUCAAUAAAGAAGAAGACUAUGAAGUAGAUAUAUCAAUAGCAAAAGCUAAAGAAAUACACAAGUCAAAUAAAGAAAAUUUAUUUAAAUGUAAAGGAUGUAAACUAGGAAAACUAAAAUUUUCUAUAGUAGAAAAACACUUCAAAGAGUGUAAUUUUAGAACAGACAAUUAUGGAUUUCGCCAGAAAGAAAAAACACAGGAAGAAAGUGAUGAUGAAACAACACGUAGUUUAAAAGAAUUAGAUGAAAGCGAUGAUGAAACAACACGCAGUUUAAAAGAAUUUAUGGAAACCGCUUCUUCAAGCUCAAGUCCCUUCCAAAAGACAACCCCAAUACCACCAAUAGAAUAUACUAUAGGUAAUUUACCACAACACCGUGUAUUUAGACAAGACCCGAUGACAGAACCAGAAAUGGUUAGACCUAUAGGAAUAAUAAUGCCAAUAGAAGCCCCCAUCAAACUCCAAGACAGGGGAGAUAGAUGAAAAAUACUAAAUAUAUCGGCUCAUGACCCUCAAUUAUGGAACUCAGUACUAGAUGUAUGGAAAGGAGUAGUAGUAGCAGACAACAUACACCAUUAUAGUGAAACAGAUGCAGAAACUAUGUAUAGAUACAUGGAAACCUUUCUAGGAGAAUCAAUCAAAGGAGUAUGGGAAGAAUAUAAGGUAGCUUACCCUCAAGAAUUCCAAGAACUAGUAAAUAUAGGACCAAACUCGUAUAAUUUUACUAAUAAAAUACACAGCCUGAUAACAGGAGAAGACCCAAAUAGCGGAUUAGUAGUGUUACAAAAGAAUGCACUAAUAAAAUUAGAACAACUUAGCAAAACAAAUUGGAGUCAUAUAAAGAAUUUUUUAAAAGACUAUUUUUACUAUUGCGCUAUAAGCGGUAAUGCGUUUGACCAAAGCUUGGGGAAAAAACUUUUUAACAAACUCCCUGGAGCCUUAGGAAGAGAAAUAGAGGAAAGAUGGAACAAAAGAGAGGGAGUAAUGACAAAACCCAAAUGCCAACUGGUCUAUAGGACAUAAAAUACAACAUGUCAUGGAAAUAUUACAAGAGAAAUGUACAAAUAUACAAAUACAAAAAUAAUUAAAACAAAAUGAGACUAGUUUUUGUAAGAAUAUAUAUACAACACAAAGCUAUGAUCAAAGUACACCAAAAAGAAAAUACAGAAAGACAUAUCAAAAUAACCAAGACUACAAACCUAGGAAAAGGUAUUAUCUAAGAAAAUCUACGGCAAAAAAACCUUACCUAAAUAAAGAUAGACAUGUAAGAAAACAAUAAUAAUAAUAAUAGAAUUUACAAAAAUAAGACUAUCUUGUUUUACUAUGUGGAAGUGAAGAACAUCUAGCUAAUACUUGUCCAGGUAGAAAUAAUAGUAGAACAAGAAAUGCCCAACUUAUAGAAGACUUCCAAGAAACCCUGAUAAAUGUAGAUGAAUACAAGUCAGAUAAUGAGAGCAUAUAUUUAGUAAUAAGCAUAGAUGCUAUAGAAGGAAGACAACAAGAUUCGUCUGAUUCAGAAGAAGAAACUUUAAUAAACGAGAUAGGAUUAGAAAAAUUAGACUUAAACAUGAAAGAUUUUACCUUUGUUAAUAUACAAUGCGAUCACCAAUUCUCCAAAGCAAAAGGGUUAGAUAGUCAAAAAUGCUUUAAUUGCACAUGAUACCCCAGUAAAGACAGAAGAGCUAAAUGUAUGAACUGCUAUGUAGAGGGAUGCCUUAUGUGCAUCGACAUGAUAUUUAACAUAAAAGUUAUAGACCAAACAAGAAGUACAAAAGAAAAAACAUUAAUAUCUUUAGAAAAAAGGAUUGAUAAUUUAGAGGACAGAAUAAGUAAAUUAGAAAAGGGAAAAGAAAAAUUAGAAGAGGGAACCAACCAAAACACAACGCCAAAAGAGGAAAUCGAGCUCUUAAAUGAAAAGGAGGACUAUAAAUCAUUUGAGGGAUUAAUUUGUAAUGAAGACAAGAAAAUUAAUACUAUCAAAAUAUUAACAAGAAUAAGAAUUCAAGACUACGAAAUAGAAACUUUAGCUCUAGUAGACUCUGGAUGUAAAAGUAUAAUAGAUAGAAGUAUCCUGCCUCUAGAUAUAAUAAAAUAAUUUCCAGAGCCACAAAGCGCCAUGCAAAUGGAUGGAUCUUCAAAUGUAUAUAAACAUUAUGUUAGUAAUGCUCAAAUAAGUUUUUUAAAUACAUGUGAAAACUUUUAUAAACACAUGUAUAGAUUAGAAAAAAUAUGGGUUAGAGACUUAAAUAUUAUAGUAGACUUUGUUUUAGGUUUAGACUUCUUAUUACAUAACAACGGAUGUUGUCGCCUUACUAGAGACGGAGUAAUAUUCUCUAAAAAUAUGACUCAUACCUCAAUAACAACAGAAUCGUUUCCAACGAAAUCUAGGUAUCUUAAAAAUACUGAUAAACUUAAUACAAACACUUCAAAAUGUAAUAAAGGAGAAGAAUGUAAUUAUACUAAGAUACAUGUUAUUGAAGAAGAAAUUGAAUUAUUAGAGCUAAGUUUAUCUGAUAUACAACUAGAGAAAAGUUAUAACUUAAUAGAAAUAAAUACAGAAUUUUAUAAUUUCAAAAAAGGAUUACAACAUAUAGGAGUCAUAAAAAAUCAAAAAGACCUAGAGGAGGUAAUUUCCAUCUUAGAUAAAUUAGAGAUAAUUGGAGAAAGACCUUUAAAGCACUGGGAAGCCAAUCAUAUAACUUGCAGACUGGAUAUCAUUAACCCAGAAUAUACUGUUAAAACUGAUUCAAUAGAAUCCACAAAUGAAGACCUAAAGGAAUUUGAAGAUCAGAUAAAAGAAUUACUAAAUUAGGGAGUGAUAAGAAGAUCAACUUCAAGACAUAGGUCAUCAACAUUUGUGGUAAGAAAUCAUAAUGAAAUAUUAAGAGGAAAAGCUAGAAUGGUAAUAAACUAUAAAAGACUUAAUGACAAUACCAAAAUGGAUGGAUAUAAGUUGCCAGAAAGAUCAAAAUUAAUAAAUCGAAUGCAAGGAAGAAUUUUUUUUAGUAAGUUUGAUUGUAAAUUCGAAUACUGGCAAGUCAAAAUGUAUGAAGACAGUAUAGAAUAGAAAACUUUCACUUGCCCAGAAGGACAUUUCGAAUGGUUGGUAAUGCCCUUCGAUUUAAAAACAGCUCCUCCGAUCUUUCAGAGAAAGAUGGACAAUAUAUUUAGAGAUUAUAAAAAUUUUAUUUUAGUAUAUGUAGACGAUAUCUUAGUAUUUAGUAAUAAUGCCAACAAACAUCUAAGACAUUUACAAACGGUGUUUAAAUUAUUUGUAGACAAUGGAAUUAUAAUUAGCAAAAAGAAAAUGGAAUUAUGUAAAAAACUAACAGUGGUUUCUCCUCCAACAGUCAAGUAACUAGCACUGGUUAUUCCAGCAAGAGCUCUUACUCUAACAGAACUAGUACCGUCAACUCCAAUUGUAGCAGCAGGAAUGUCUUCACCACCAGAUAAAUCUUAUAAAAUUCCUAGGGGUAGAAAUUGGAAAUGGAAAGAUAAAAUUACAACCCCAUAUAGCAAAAAAGGUUCUCGACAUGCUUGAUAAAUUAGAUAAUACUAAAGACUUACAAAAAUUUCUAGGAAUAUUAAAUUAUGCACGAAGUUUUAUAAAAGACCUAGGAAAAGUAACAGGACCCUUAUAUUCUAAAACAGGAAUUCAUAGGCAGAAGACAUUCAAUAUGGAAGACAUAAAAUUAGUACAAAAGCUUAAACAAAUGGUUAAAAAUAUACCAGAUCUAGCCCUCCCACUAAAAACUGACUGCCCAAUAGUGGAAACCGACAAAAGUCUAGAAGGAUGGGGAGCAGAAUUAAAAACAAAGAACAAUAAAUAUAUAGAAAAGAAAGACGAAAAAAUUUACGCCUAUCACAGUGAAAAAUACAAGGAAAAAGGAAACAUGAGUAGCAUAGAUGCAGAAAUUCUAGUAGUCAUAUAUGGACUAAAUAGCUUUAAAUUAUUUAUUAUUAAUAAAAAAGAAAUUUUAGUAAGAACUGACUGCAAAGCUUUUGUAAAAUUCCACCAGAAAAUAGAAGGAAAAAAUAGUAGUAAGAGAAGAUGGCUAAAUUUUUUAGACGCUACAUCAAUAUACAAUAUAUUUUUAGAAUAUAUAAACGGAAAAGAUAAUUCCUUAGCAGAUCAACUAAGCAGACUCAUGAAAACUAAUUAUUUAUUUUCAGAAUGAGUACAUGUAAGAACAAAGACAAGGCAUCCAGUUCAAGUUCAAGUAAUAGUGGGCAAAAAGACAAAGAUAUAUACUUAUAGACAUUAUUGGGAAACACUUCGUUUAGACCACAUACAAGAGAAGAAGAUGCAAGGAUAAAUACUCCUAUAGAAAGACUAUACUUUGGAAGACAAAAUUUAAUAUUUUAUCCUCCAUCUAAUUUAAGUUUCAGAGUAAAGCCAGAAACAAAAAUAGAUAAACAUCAAAGAUGUUUGAUAGACAAUCUAUGGAUAGCAUAUAACAAAAUUUUGAAAGACAAUAGCUAUUUUAUUUCAGUAUUAAACUCAGUAAGUUAUUAUUUUACGGAGAAAAAUGAAGACAAAAAGUUUAAAUUCUACGUAGUAGUUCGAGGAAAGCUAGCAGGCAUCUUCCAGACUUGGAUCGAGGUGAUAGACUCAAUUAAAGACUUUCCUACCCCAUUUUUCAAAGGAUUCAACGAUUUAAAUAAAGCACUAGACUAUGCUAGAGGAACUCUUGGGCCAAAUUAUUUCAUAAGCCCAGCUUUAAGACAAACUUCAAGACCUUUCCUGCAAUACAAUAUUCGAAAGGAUACUGACAAGAUAAUCUUCUGCGAUCAUUGUUCUUCAAUGACUGAAGGAUUCAAAAUACUAAACCAGACAAUUGAGAAACUAGAGACUGAGAAAGGGGAACUGACACAACAUAUCCACUCAUUACAAGAAAAAAUAAGGUUCUUCCUUGGAAAUACUAAUCAAACCAUACCAUUACAAAUACAAGACUACUCAAAAGGACCAAAGAGUUCUCCAUCUCAUCUUAAAAUGGAUAAGACGGGUGUUCAUCCUCCAACGAAUGUAGAAAGAGCUAUUGUAUCAGCUAAAUGUACAACUAGUCCCGUUCAAAUGGUAGCGGGUAAAGAUUCAUCAAAUCCGUUGAUGGCUGACACUUUGCCAAAAAGUGUUAAAAACAAAUUUGAAAAUAUUUGUUAAAAACAAACUUAAUUUUUUUGAAAUUGGGGGGUGGGGGGUCGCGGGUAGGGAGUGGNNNNNNNNNNNNNNNNNNNNNNNNNNNNNNNNNNNNNNNNNNNNNNNNNNNNNNNNNNNNNNNNGGGGAGGGGGUCGAGGGUAGGGGUGGGGUGGGAUGAAAAAUAAAAAAUUUAAAUUGGAAAUAUUUUUUUAAAAAAAAUUAUUUUUUUUGUGGGGGGGAGGGGUAGGGGGUGAGGUAAAAAAAUUUAAAAUUGAAGGCUUUAAAUUUAUUUUUUUCAACAAAAAAAUAAUAAUUGUAAUUUGAAGUUGGAGAGAGUUUUGGAAAACGUUUUUCUUAAUUUUUUGAAAGUAAGUCAUUUUCCUUAAAUUUGAGAAAAAUGAGUUAAUUUGAAAAUCAUUCUCCAAAACGUUUUACCCAACCAAAUAUGAUAAAAUUGAAAUACAUUUUCCGAAAAUGUUUUCCUUCAUACCAAACACACCCAAUAUGAUGAAUCAAUGAUGGAUUAUGGUGAAAUUUACUUUUUUCAUAGAAAAAUAUCAAAGAAUUAUACUAUUCAUGUUUGAUAAAAUAUCCUUCAAUAAGACCUGGUGAAUAUCAUAUGUCUCUGUUUCGAUGCAUCUUAUAAAUCCUAUUGAAAUUCUGUGAGGUUGCUCGUGUCCUUUGGUUGGUGGGCUUAAUUUUUUGAACUGUGAAUGCAUCUUAACAUAAUUUUGAUUUUUGAUGGGUUCUCCAAAUCUAACAAUUUUAUUUGGGAUCCCUUUUUUUAGGGGGAAAGUCUCAAAUGGGAAAUAAAGUUGGCACUUUGAAGAUUUUGAAGCUAGAAUUUGUGAGCUCUCUCUUUGUCUACACAAAUUUCAAACGGCCUGUUAUAGCUUCAAGGUAAUCGUCUUCGGAAAUUUGAAUUCUUUUGGUUCUUAUUUUAAUCUUGCACAAAAGUGUAACAUUUACCCUUUGUUUGGAUCAUUGUUACCCAUUAUAUUGUAUCGUUACUAUACCUACAAUGUUUGUUUUGAUUAUUACUUAAAAUAUAUUGUAUUGUAUUGUUAAAUUUCGUUGUUACGUAACAAUGAAAACCUCUAUUUUAUGGAACAACCAAUUUGGUGUGUUCCCAAUUGUUACUUAAUUUCUUUUUCCAAUUAUAUCUUUUACAUAAUAUUUCAAAAUACUAUUUUAUCCUUUACCUUAUAUUAUUUAAUUCUAAUCAAACCUCCUACUCUACAUAUAUACAAAUGGCUUACAUAUACCAUUUUCCUCUAACAGAGAUGAAAAAAAUUAAUUUUAGUUUAAUUUUUUUUAAAAAAAAAAAAACUAUAAUCCCAUAUGAGUAUAUUUAAUCCUCCUCAAACAUAUAUUUUUUUUGUUUCAAUGACUAAUUUAAAUUUAUUAUUUUAAUGGUCAAAUUUAUUUAUGUUUCACUAAUAUUCUUGUAAAACUUAUUAUUGUUUACAUCUCCGCUUUAUUCAAAUAGGGCGAAACGUCCUGAUGACUCAAAAAAUAAACAAUUGAUUCAAUUUUAAAUUUUUUUUAAGAAAAUAAGAAUUUUAAAGGAGUCACCACCUAAUUUUAGGAAACCAAUUAAAUGAUCUACGAAACCAAGAAAUUUUAGGUAAGGGGUUCAAGUUAAUUCGAAGGAAAAGUGUUAGGCAUCAUUCGAAAUUCACAAUUGUGAGUUCCGACCGAAUUCAUUUUUUCAAAUUGAGGAGGAAGUAAAAAUAGUAUACAAAUAUAACAAACAUACAAUAUACACAAGUAAUAUGAGAAACGACCUAAUAUUUGCCUAUCAUCAAUAAUAUACAUAAUAAUGAUUAUAAUAUUCGAACUUUAUUCGAAUGGCUUCGAUGAGAAACGACUUCGGGGUACCUAUAAAGACACUUAAUAAAAGUGUUAAUACUAAAUAUAUAUGAAUAAAAAUAAAUAAAGCAAAUAAUAACUUAAAAAUAAAAACUCAUCUUAUUAACAUAGGAGGCCUUAGAAAUAGACUGUAAUUUCUUCAUCGGCCAAUUUUAACAAAUAAAAUAUACAAACUUAAAUUAAAUUUUCGUCUUUUGCAAUGUAGAGGCCUCCAAAACCGACGGAAAUUUUUUUUCAUUAGGCAAAUUAUAGCAUUUACUUAACAUGAAUUAAGGAAAUAAUCCUAUAGUAAAAUUGACAAAACCCUUCGGGGUGGCCCAGUGGUUUGGGCUUGGGACUUCCAUGUUGGAGGUCUCAAGUUCGAAACCCCUUGCCAGCGAAAGCAAGGGUUUGCCCUCUGGGUCGAGCUCAUCGCACCGGGCUUGCCUAGUGCGGGUUACCUCUCCUAUGUGGUUUGCGAGCUAUUGCAUAAGAGCGGGGGUUUUACCCUGUGCGCAUCCAAAGGGUAGCAGCUGCGGGUUUCCCUUGUCAUCAAAAAAAAUAAAAUUGACAAACAUUAUAUUUAAACUAGCUCAAAAAGAAUAACAAAUUAAUAACGGACAAUGCACAGAUAAUGAUAAAAUAAUUUCGACACUUUUCUAAAAAAAACAACUACUAGUGCUAACAACAUCAAAGAAAUAAAUAAAUUAAGAAGAAUAAUGGAAGUAAAAUCUGUAAUCUAAACAAAAAUAAAAAUAAAAAAUGAAACCGAACACCACAAUCACAAUAGUAUCUAAAUGAAGUAUAAUCUGUAACCGAUUAAAAUAAUAAUAACAAUAAUAAACAAAAGAGGAAACAAAGGCAUAAUAAUAACAAUAAAAUAAAUCCACAACUUAGAGAAAAUUACAAUACUCAACCUUCUUUAAUUAAUAAUUAGAAAUUACCAUUAUGUGCCACUUUAUACGAAUUGAGAGAAUUAACCACAAAUAAAUAGACUAAUCAAGAAUAGCUAACUAUAGUAUCCAAAAUAAACUAAACAAAAAUAAUGGAUUCGAAAGCACAUUCAUAAACUGUAAACGUAAACAAUAAUAAAAAGAAAUCAAGGAAUAACAGAUACAAAAAUUACCGAUCCCGGUCUGGUUCCUGGCGACUUCGUUGUUUUGAGCUACUAUUCGCCGGAGUUGUUUUGCCAGAGUUCGGAAUGUUGGUUGUUGUUAUUGUUACCUCCUGGAGGAGCUCGUGGGUGGAGCUGGUGUGGUCAGCCUCUGGUUUCGAUGAGUUGGAGCUUGGAGCUCACUGGCUGUUGUUCGCCUGGGCUUCGUGGGUUUUGAGCUACUUCUUGCUGGGGUUGCUGGUUCAACGAGCAAAGGGGAGAACGAGGAUGGGGUUUUGGGUUGGUUUCGCCGGAAAAAGGGUGAAGAGAGUUGGGGUCUUAGUGGUGGUUUUGGUGGUGAUUUUGGCUGAAGGGUGGUGGCGUUUGGGUGGGUUGGAGAGCUGCUGGUUGCAGCAGAGAAAACAGGAGGGGUUUUGGGUCUGUUUGGUUGGCUGAUUUUGUGGAUUUGGGGUCUAUUUGGAUCGUGGUUUUGCCGGAAAAAGAGGUGAACGGAGAUGGUUUGUUGGGUUGGAGUUUCUCGGAGGUUGUUUGGUUGUUGUUAAUGGUUGUUUUCGGUGGCUUUUGGUCUUUGGUGGUGGCUGGAUUGUUGCUGGAAACGAAAAGGGGGGUGAGCACUGGCUCGCCGGAAAUGGAGUUUGAGUGGUGAUGAGGAAGGAGGGUGGCGGCAGCUUUGACAAGAUGAUAGAAAAAUCGUUUUUGGUUUCAGUCAUUUUGAAAUUUUUCACCACUUGGACUAAAAAUAUUGUUCAUCCUCUUCACUUAAUGAAUAAGCUAUUGUUUAUAUAGAAAAUUGAAAAUUAUCUAUAGUAUAAUACGAUUAUCUUAAAAUCAUGGGCUGAAACCAUUAGUUAAAUAAAAUAUUUGUAUAUAAAUCUUAUUUAUAUUUGAAUCAAUUUUUAGACAGUGCAAAAUAUCAAAAUUAAUAUUAGCAAAUGUAACAAAUAAAAAUGAAUAUUAUUAAAAAAAAGGAAAGUAAUGAACGUAACAAAUGACAUGUAUAAAGUGCAAUUUAAUAGAAAUAACUAUUUAAUCAAGAUGAACAAAUAUUUGAACGUAUUUAACCAGCUAUGACAAAAAAUAAUGAAAUUAAAAUUAACUGAUAAAAAAUCCUAAAUUUUGACAAAUAAAAAUAAUUAUCGAUAAACUUAUUUAAAAUUAUAAAAAAUGUAUUUUGAACAAUUAAAUAAAUAAAACUUAAAAGUUACGAAUUUUGAAAAUGUUAGGUCAAAAUUGGGUGUCAACAAUUAUAGAUGACCUUUUUUUUUUCUUCAAAUACAAAAAUUAAAUUACAAUAUAGACAAAAAAAAAAUUGUUUUAAAUUAUAAUAUAGCUGCAAAAAAAUAGUUUUAAUUUUUUUUUCUUUACACCAAGGAAUGAAAGAAAAAAUAAAAUAAGAAUAAGAAACUAAAAUAAUGAAAAUCAAAGAAGUCAAAAAAUAAUUUAUGUAUGAAAAAAAUUGAAAUAUACCUUGAACUUUGCAGAAGAAUCUUAUAUAUCCCUAAAUGAUUUUUAAAACAAUUAAAAGUCAAAAAUAUAAAUUUAAAAUUAAUUUUUUCACUUCCGUUAAAUGAAGAUAUAUGUGAGCUCAUUUUGUAACGAUAGGGUAUAUGUGAGCCGUUUAUAUAACAACAAAGGUAUAUAUGAGUCACUUUCAUAACGAGGACAUAUCAACUCUAAAUAAAAAAAUUGACAGGUAUAUCAGACCCUUUUCCCUAGAAAAAAUAAUACCUUAGAGAAAAGGAAAAUGGAACAGAAUCCAAUUCUUCACAAUUCUAAAACGUAUUCAUGAUAUGCUAGGCCAAACUAAGCACUACAAUGAGCUGUUGAAAAAUGGACAAGUGCACAAAGCAAAAAGUAACGAAUAGACAUAAAGCAAAAGAUACCUUCCUCAAUUAUUCAAUUAGUGGAGUCAUACUUUUUGAAAAGAGAAACGAGGACAGUUUUGCUUCUUGUAGAUUAGCUGAAACAUAGUUGUACUAAUUUCAAGCAAUCACUGAUCAUUCUUGUUUGCAAAUUACUCUCAACAUUCAACAGGUAAAGUAAGUUCUAUCUUAGUAGUUGAAGAUAGAAAAAUUUAUCUUCUCAUCAAAAUCAUUUUGUGUUUCCUUGUUUUGAUUUGCAGAUUUCAGAAAUGGAGGUUGGCUUAGCAGUUGGUGGUGCAUUUCUUCUCUUCAGCUUUGAAUGUUCUCUUUGAUAGGCUUGCUCCUCAGGGUGAUCUUCUCAACAUGUUUCACAAGCAUAAGCAUCAUGUUCGGCUCUUCAAGAAGCUGAAAAUGACUUUACUUGGUCUUCAAGCUGUUCUAAGUGAUGCAGAGAAUAAGCAGGCAUCAAAUCAAUUUGUGAGCCAGUGGCUUGAUGAGCUUCGAGAUGCUGUGGACAUUGCUGAAAACUUAAUUGAACAAGUCAAUUAUGAAGUUUUGAGGCUUAAGGUUGAAGGUCAGCAUCAGAAUCUUGCAGAAGCAAGCAAUCAGCAAGUAAGUGACCUUGACCUGUGCUUAAGUGAUGAUUUUUUUCUUAACAUAAAGGAGAAGUUGGAAGACACCAUGGAAACAUUGGAGGAUUUGGAAAAGCAAAUUGGCCGCCUUGGCUUAAACGAGCAUUUUGGUUCGACUAAACAAGAAACUAGAACACCUUCAACUUCUUUGGUUAAUGAAUCUGAUAUCUUUGGUAGGCAGAGCGAAACAGAGGAUUUGAUUGACCGUUUAUUGUCUGAAGAUGCAAGUGGAAAAAAUCUGACUGUAGUUUCUAUUGUUGGAAUGGGUGGCGUGGGUAAGACAACACUUGCUAAAGCGGUUUACAAUGAUGAGAGGGUGAAGAACCAUUUUUGUUUGAAAGCUUGGUAUUGUGUUUCUGAGGCAUAUGAUGCUUUCAGAAUAACAAAAGGGUUACUUCAAGAAAUUGGCUCAUUUGACUUAAAGGAUGACAACAAUCUUAAUCAGCUACAAGUCAAAUUGAAGGAAAGCUUAAAGGGAAAGAAGUUUCUUAUUGUAUUGGAUGAUGUGUGGAAUGAAAACUACAAUGAGUGGGAUGACUUGAGAAAUAUUUUUGUACACGGAGAUAUAGGAAGUAUGAUAAUUGUAACGACACGUAAAGAGCGUGUUGCCUUGAUGAUGGGUAGUGGGGCAAUCAACGUGGGGACUCUGUCUGAUGAAGUCUCUUGGGAACUAUUCAAACGACAUUCACUAGAAAACAGGGAUCCUGAGGAACAUCCAGAACUUGUAGAGGUUGGAAAACAAAUUGCACACAAGUGCAAAGGAUUGCCUUUAGCUCUAAAGGUACUUGCUGGUAUUUUACGCUGCAAAUCAGAGGUGGAUGAGUGGAGAGACAUUUUUGAGAAGUGAAAUAUGGGAGCUUCCAAGUUGUUCGAAUGGUAUAUUACCAGCGCUAAUGUUGAGCUACAAUGAUCUUCCUGCACAUUUGAAGCAAUGUUUUGCUUAUUGUGCAAUAUAUCCUAAAGAUUAUGAAUUUUGCAAAGACCAAGUUAUUCACUUGUGGAUUGCUAAUGGUCUUGUACAUCAGUUGCAUUAUGGUAACCAAUACUUUCUCGAGUUGAGAUCAAGAUCACUGUUCGAAAGGGUCCCAAAGUCUGCAUGGAAACUGGAAGUAUUCUUAAUGCAUGACCUUGUCAAUGAUUUGGCCCAAAUUGCAUCUUCAAAUCUUUGUAUAAGGUUGGAAGAGAACAAAGGAUCGCAUAUGUUGGAACAAUGUCGGCACAUGUCCUAUUCAAUAGGAGAAGGUGGUGAGUUUGAGAAAUUGAAAUCACUCUUUAAAUCAGAGCAGCUGAGGACAUUACUUCCAAUCAAUAUGCCUUUCUAUUGCCAAAAUAAGCUAAGCAAGAGGGUGCUGCAUAACAUUUUGCCAAGACUAACAUCCUUAAGGGCAUUAUCGUUGUUACGCUAUGAAAUUGUUGAGUUGCCAAAUGACUUAUUUAUCGAAUUAAAGCUCCUGAGAUUUUUGGAUAUUUCUCGGACAAAGAUUAAAAGGUUGCCAGAUUCCAUUUGUGUGUUGUAUAACUUAGAGACACUUCUCCUUUCAUCUUGUGAUUAUCUUGAGGAGCUACCGCUGCAGAUGGAGAAGUUGAUCACCUUGCGUCAUCUUGACAUAAGCAACACUCGUGCCUUGAAGAUGCCACUAUAUCUGAGCAAGUUGAAAAGCCUCCAAGUGUUAGUGGGAGCCAAGUUUCUCUAGGUGGUUCGAGAAUGGAAGAUUUGGGUGAAGUACAUAACUUGUACGGAUCUCUAUCAGUUGUAGAGUUGCAAAAUGUGGUUGAUAGUAGGGAAGCUGUGAAGGCAAAAAUGAGAGAGAAGAAUCAUGUUGAGCAGUUAUCUUUGGAGUGGAGUGGAAGUAGUAGUGCCGACAAUUCACAAACAGAAAGAGACAUACUUGAUGAGCUACGCCCACAUAAAAACAUAAAAGAAGUCGAGAUCACCGGAUAUAGAGGGACAACAUUUCCAAAUUGGCUAGCUGAUCCUUUGUUUCUUAAUCUAGUAGAGUUGUCUAUUGAUAACUGCAAGAACUGUUAUUCCUUGCCAGCACUAGGACAACUCCCUUGUUUGAAAUUCCUUUGGAUUAGAGGGAUGCAUGGAAUAACAGAGGUGACGGAAGAAUUCUAUGGCAAUUUGUCCUCCAAAAAGCCUUUUAGCUCUCUUCAGGAGCUUGGAUUUGUUGAUAUGCCGGAGUGGAAGCAAUGGAACAUACUAGGAAUUGGAGAGUUCCCUAUACUUGAGAACCUUUCAAUUAUAAAUUGCCCUGAAGUCUGUUUGGAGAGACCCAUCCAACUUUCAUGUUUAAAAAGGUUUGCAGUUUGUGGUUGUCCUAAGGUUGGAGAAGCUCAAAUGUUUAGAUCCCAACUUGAGGGAAUGAAGGAGAUUGAGAAUUUAGAAAUUAGUGAUUGUAACUCUGUUACCUCCUUUCCUUUUAGCAUACUGCCCACUACCUUGAAGAGAAUAACCAUAUAUCGUUGCGAGAAAUUGAAAUUGGAGGUGCCAGUUGAUGAGAUGAGUAUGUUUCUGGAGGAAUUGACACUGUAUAAAUGUGAUUGUAUAGAUGAUAUAUCACCUGAGUUUUUCCCAACAGCACGCCAUUUGAAUGUAGAGGAUUGCCACAACCUUACUAGGGUUUUGAUUCCUACUGCCACUGAAAGACUCACUAUUUUGAAUUGUGAGAAUCUUAAAAUACUUUCGGUUGCAUGUGGGGGAACCCAGAUGACAAUUUUGUAUAUUGAGGGCUGUUGGAAGCUGAAGUGGCUGCCAGAACGUAUGCAGCAACUCCUUCCAUCUCUUAAGGAACUGUAUCUCUAUAAUUGUCCAGAAAUAGAGUCCUUUCCUGAAGGAGGAUUGCCCUUCAAUUUACAAGCCCUUUGGAUCAGAAAUUGCAAGAAACUGGUGAAUGGCCGAAAGGAGUGGAGUUUACAGAGACUCUCCUGUCUCAGAGAGUUAUCCAUCGUACAUGAUGGCAAUGACGAAGAGAUUGUUGGUGGUGAGAAUUGGGAGUUACCUUCCUCUAUUCAAAGACUUACCAUAGAGAAUCUGAAAACAUUAAGCAGCCAACAUCUCAAAAGCCUCACCUCUCUUCAAUAUCUAUGUAUUCGUAAUUUACCUCAAAUUCAGUCACUGCUGGAACAAGGGUGGCUUCCCUCGCCUCUUUCUGAGCUACGUUUAUAUCACCAUCAUGAGCUCCAUUCACUAGGUCUUUGGCACCUCACUUCGCUUCAAAUUCUACACAUCAUUAAUUGCCCUAAUCUCCAAUCACUUUCCGAAUCAGCACUGCCCUCUUCCCUCUCUAAACUACAUAUUCGCGACUGCGCAUUGCUCACACCACUACUAGAAUUUGACAAGGGGGAAUACUGGCCAGAAAUUUCUCAUAUCUCCACCAUACAGAUCAAUGAGGAAUACCUUUAAUGAUUAAAACAACUGUAAGUUUUUCUUUUUCCUCAUAAGCCUUUUAUUAUUUUUUCAACUUCUCUUUGCUUUUAUGUUAAUGCUUUUUCUUUAUUACAUUCUUGUUUCGCAGUAUGGAGUGUCUAUUGCCACUAUGAAGCUGAUGAUUUUAAUUUUAGAACUCAAUAGCAAUUAAUGUUACAUAUCUUACUCGAAGAUUUUUAUCGCUUGAACUUUCAUCUCAAUAGCAAGUCAUGUAUACUUGUUCUUUCCCUUUUCAGUGAGUUUAGAGUGAUGCACAUGUCCACUAUCAAAUUCAAAACUCUUAAUAGAAUUCAAAGGUGUACCAUACACAAGAUGUGUUUCAGUGAGUUUAGAGUGAUGCACAUGUCCACUAUUCAGGUUUUUAUUAAUGAUUCAGCCCCAUCGUAGAGAUCGAUUGGGAAUACCUGUGAUGAUUAAAACAAAUGGCUCUCCAACUGAUGUAAGUUAUUCUUUUCCAUCAGAAGCUUUUUAUUUUUGUUUUCAUUUUGCUUUUUUGUUGAUUCUUUUCCUUUAUAAAACCUUGUUGAGCAGUGUAGAAUGCCUAUUGCUCAAAUCAUAAAUCUUGAUUAGGAGAACCCUGUAAUGAUUAAAACGAGUUCUGCUCCGAUAGAUGUAAGUUAUUCUAUUUCCUUAAAUGUAACUAAUAUUCACUGGAUAUUCUAUUUCCUUAGUAUAUUUUGAUUGAGAUAAUUUGCUCAAGAAAGUUGAUUGCUUAAUAUAUGUUAUCACCUUUGGAGAUAUAGGGUCCAAGAAAUGCAACCUCACUUUCUCAAUCAGGUAGCCAACACAUUGAUAAAAGUUAUAUCAAGCUUCAAAUUUAAAGAAAUUGAAAACGACUUUGAAUAUCUGCUUCCAUUAUUUUACGCCAUGUUGUACCACAUUGAUUUCAAGUUUGAUUCCACUGCAUAAUUACAUCAGUUUUUUUUUUGUUUUGAUAUUCAAUUAUCUAGAAUAUUACAUCACUUUUUGGUUUUGAUAGUCAGAGAACUUUGAAGAUUAUGAAGUUUCCUUCAAAUUAAGCCCAUUACUCAACCUCGAGUGACACCUCAGAGCUAGCGGAAAGUCAAGAAAGUUUAUCCUGCUCGGGAUGAAGUUAAUGUUAGAUAACAAAAUAAUGAUUUACUCGUGUUUCAGUUACUAAGAUUCUUAUUUUGUAGUAAUAUUUUGGACUCUCAUAACUCAGUGACAUGGAUUUCCUUCAUUGGCACCCUCAUCAGUCAUCAAUCAGUGAAACAGAGAAAUCGACUGUUUCAAAACUCUCUGAAACCCAUUUUGAGCUUCAUGCCUUCAAUUCCGAUGAAACCCAAAAGGCAUCAACAGAGUAGAAGAAUUCAACCCAAAACCCAUUUCAACCCAAGUUUUCUAUUCCUGCUUCACCUGAUAGGAAGAAGUUUACGUAUGAGAAAGGUCUAAAGGUACAAAUAUUUUUUCUUCUCCUUUUCUUACUGUGGUGCUUAAAUUGGUUUUGUCCCACUUUGCAUCACAAUGAUGUUGGAGUAUAUCGGUUUUCUACUGGUAUUCAGAUACUUAAAAUGGAAAAUUGCUUUGGAAAAUAUCGUUUCAUUGUUCGAAAGUUGUUUAACAUACAAUUGGCAUCUGUUGAUCCAAUUUUUUCAUUUUUCUGUUAAUCUUCUUCUAUCCUUAGUUUACAUGUCUUCUGAUUGAGUUAUAAUACAUGCCUUGAUUCUAUUGAAGAUGAGAAAUCGUCAAAUGCCUUUAUGAAGUGUUUGCUAAGUUGAUGUCGCCUAAUUCACAUUUCACUGAAUUAAUUUCUGACCCAAGUUUAUGCAUAUGUUUGGUCUAACAUUGAAAAGGAAAAAUGUCGAAUGAUAUGGAUAUUUUUGUUUUUAAGAAUACAAAGUCACUAUAAAGGUAGAAAAUUUCGAUGGUAUUAAUUUUGAUAUGCAUCACCAUUGAGAACUUUGCCUGAGGUAUUAAUUUCUAUUUUCGCUGUUUAGAAAUGUUUAAUGUAACUCCUAAUUGUGAUGCUUCAUUCACACAUUUUUGAAAUAUAUUACAUAGAAAAUAUGCUUCUAUCCAAGGAAAAUUAUAUCUGCCUAGCUCUAACCUCCAGUACGUGUAUUCAUGAAUAAAAUGAUAGAAAAUGGAAACAAGGAAGGAAAACAUGUGCUGUUUGUUCUCGAUUUUUAAAUAUUGUAUCCUCUUUCGCUUCUGUUUUUCAUUUGCUCUCCUAGCUAAUAGUCUUUUAUUUACUGAAUAAUCAUAUGUUAUAUGUCUCCUUAAGUUCCUGUAUUUUUUAUUUCACAAACUUCACAUAAGCAUACAAGUAAUUGCAAUAGUUUAUUUGUGCUUCCAGAUUCGUUUAGUGUGAGGUCUGAUUUUUCUUUUUCCUUUUACAGCUAUUAGGAAAAGCUUGCCUAUGUGGCUCUUGACUAUGAGCAGGAGAUUGAAACUGCCAGGAGCAGCUCCUCCACUGAAAAGAACUAUGAAUUGCCUGAUGGACAAGUUAUUGCCUUUGGUGCUGAGAGGUUCCAUUGCCCAGAGGUCCUCUUCCAGCCAACGAUCCUUCCCGUGCGUUGAUCGUGGAUAAGACACUCAGAAGAAGAAAAGAUGACACGAAGAUGGUUAGCUGCAACAUGACUGACAGAAAUUUCUUUAUAGGAGGAAAAUGGAAUCUAUCAUGAAGAAUCCGGGAUGAAGACAUAGACCCACAGUGUGAAAGAGGUAAGAGAGUUUCAUCUACAAUGUUAACAGAAACUUUAAUAGGUAAAGGAGGCAGACAAUAGCAAUUGAUUAUCGUUUAGUGAUUAUCUUGCUUGUUAUAAACAUCAGGAGCAUUUGAUGGUAAGAUGUCAUAUAUCUUGGUAUCUAACAGGUACCCUGGGGUAUUAAUGAGUGAGGUUGAGGAUGGAAAGCCAUUCAGCCAAGUUGUUAAUGCUGCUAAAAGCCUUGGCUACACUAUUAAUGUUUGUAAAAUCACCAUAUAUAUGAGAAUUGAAGAUAUGACUUACAAAAACAGAAAGUUGUCGAUUGAAUAUAUGAUAUUGUCUAUUCAUAAUUAUGUGUAGUCUUACAUUUUUGUUUAUAUGUUGCUCUUUCUAUGAGUAAUUUCCACUCGUUUUCCUGUCAGGCAAGUGUUCCUCUGGUACAAUAAUAUUUUCUGGCCUUCUGCUUAGGAAGUUUGUCUAGGACUAAUUUGAAUGUGAGAGAAGUCAGAGAAACACGAGAAGCGAUUAAGAGAAUGUGUAAUACAAAUGUCUUACACAUGAAUUCUUCUUUUAUAUGCUCACUUUACGGUGCAUCUUCAUACAUUUGUCCAAUGUGGUGAACAUGCACAUACAACUCUAUAUUACAAUUAUCUCUUGUUAUUUACAUUUAGCUAUCUGAUUCUCCCCUCUAGCUGGUGCGUACAUGUAACCUGUAUAGGAUUUGAUGAAUAUGUCUAUAAGUUGAUCGGUCGACUUUCCAAACUUUAUAAGAGUGUCGUGAAAGCAUUUUUUGGGGAAGGGACAGUCGGUUUCUAUAUGCUUGGUCCUCUUGUCAGAUUCUGCAUACAAUGGAUACAAGUACAACUUGAUUAAUUAUCACACUCAAGUUUUGUUAUGAUCAAAUUUCAAUUGUUAGAGAAAAAUGUAUCUCAGGUUUAACUCUGCCCAAAAGUUACCUCAUGACAUGCGGAUUGCCAAAGAUCACAUAAAGAGAUUACAACAAAACAUCCUCAACUGAAGUGAGACUAACAUCUUAAUUCUUAUCGCUUGCACAGGGCGGAACAUAUGAAGUAUGUAUAACAUAACACAGGGGGGCUUAACAUUGGGUAAUAACUAAACACUAGGGAUGAGCUUGAGUGAGAUAUCAUUAAGAAAAUGGACUUUGUGCCUAACCCAGUCCAGAAAGCUAGUCCAAGAUCAUAUAAGGGUACCUUUAACCAAUGUGGUAAACUAACAGCAACCAUUUUCGAUCCUUUUGGUGGUUGUUAAUCUAUGUGCUCAUCGUUACCAUAGUCAUGACCCAAUAUUCUCUUUCUUCUAUAUUGCCCAAUUGCCUGAAAGUAUUAUAGUAUUUAGAAGUAAAACGUAUAUAAAGAAGGUAUCACUGUCCAUUUUGCAUCGUAAUUGUCUUUGAUUUUUGUUGAUAAUCCUUUCCAAGAGCAGGCUUCCUACCCCAAAAUUCUGUUUCCAGCUGGAUUAUAUAAGAAAUUUGGAGCCAUUCAAAACUUCUAAGGAGAUUCUAGUUCCUGUUCUAAUAAAGAAAUAAUGUCUUCAAUGCAUUGUCAAGAUGCAGUCAAUUUUCUAGCAGCAGUUAGCAGGAACCGUACAUCCAUCCCAAAAUAUCAUUAUGGAAGAAAUCGCUGACACUACACUUCAUCUCAAUUCUCAUUAGGAUAGUUGAAGUAUGAAGUUAUUCUUAUGUAUUUAUACUUAUCUGCAGAUCCUCGGGAUGAUCUAGGUGGUAUGGAUGCAGCAAGAAAGGUUAGGAAACGUCUUUCUUCUGAUUAAACUUACAGUGUCCAAGAUUUCAAUCCAUUUAUAUUGCCAAAUUAUUAUGCUGAUUAAGCAUUAUCUUUCUUUUUUCUUUAUCUGAACUUACCUGCAGUCUUACAGUAUGCAUAAUUGAUACAAUUAUUCUAUUUUGCAAAGGCUGGCUAUGAUAUUAUGUAAAAAGGCUGGCUAUGAUAUUAUGUGAAAAGAUCUGAGCUUCCAAUAUUGGAGACCCUAUAACCUUUAAAAUCCUCUGUUCAACCCAUAUGCAACAACUAUAUAACUCAACUGGAAAUGGCUAAGAAUCAAAUAUACGAUACUCCAAGACCACUCAAUUCUUUGUUUAUAAGCCAACAUAAACAAUAUGAUACAAUUAUUCUGUUUUGCAAUGUCAACUGCAACGAGUCUGAACCAUUGAAUUAACCAUCUAAAAGAACGUAAUUAAAAGUAAAUUUUGAAAAAAGAACGAAAAACUAGUUGAGUGAUUGGUGAUUAUCAUUUGCUUAUUCUGUUUUUUCCCCUUAUCAUGGUUACUUGUAAGUAUAAUCUCGUAAGGAAAAAAAACAUUCAAGCCAGUCCCAUCUGGAUAUAAAAUUCAAGGUUUCUUCUAGUCUGUGAUUCUGCUAUUCUCUUUUGUAUCAUGAAAAGUGUCUCGUUAGCUAUAGUCAUAUGUGCAUGAGAGUGUAGAGGGAGCAUCUCUGCUUCAUAUUUCAAGUACUUUGUUAUAAUCUUUCCUUAAUUUGUAUUUGGGAUGAUGAUGUCUUUGGGGGGUAGAAAAGCUGUGAUUAAGCCAGAAUCAUUUUCGCAGAUUGCGAUGGGAAGCAUAUCUUAUCCAACUUAAUAUAGUUAAUACUUGGUUUCUCGGUACCUUUCAUGAAACGUUCAUAGUUCUAAUUGGUUCUGUAAAUUUUGAGAAGUUGAACAUCCCUCAUAACAAUAUUUUGUUUUGAUGUCUUCAUAACAGGCUCUAAUUCUUGCUCGGCUCCUUGGACGACGUUUAAACCUAGAUAAUAUGAAGGUUAGGAUACAUGUCACCAUGUCUCUUUGUUUUGUUACUAGCUCAAUUAGCUUCAGAAACCUUGAUGCAUAUGCAAAUCCCUUUUCAGAUUGAAAGCUUGUAUCCUGAAGAAAUGGGACCAGAUGUGAUGCCUCUGGAAGACUUUCUAGUGAAUGGCCUUCCCUUACUUGAUAAGAAAAUUGAAGAUAGGACUAAACAAGCUUGAAUUUUCUGCGUUAGUUUGCUUGAUGAUGAUGCGUGGUAAUUCUUUCACUUCAUUUUUAGUUUGCUCAAUGGAUAAUGACAACUUGAUCUUUUAUUCUAAUCACAUUCUGCAAGUCACCAUACCUCUAGCAGCUUAAAGCAAAGCUUGCUCACUGACGGGAGUGUUAUGGUCAGUUGUUCACCUCUCGUAUCCACGACCAAUUAAAGAACGAGUUAGAAGUAUAAAUCUGUAAUGGCAUAGAUGAGGGAACAUUGAACUAUCUUUAAAUGAUAGUUCCAAAAUAUUUUCAUUAAUUAGUUCUUUUUUCAUGUAUUUAGGGUUGGGAAGGUGGCAGAUGGGUAUGCAGAAUUAUCAUAUUUUUUUCUUGAGACUUAUGUUGAGAAAAUUGUUAUAAGCUCUUGUAUUUAGUAUAACAUCAAUUGAAAAUUGGGAAGCAAAAACUUGUCGGCUCAUUCUACAUAAGACCUAUGUUUGGAUUUACAAAAACAACAUACCCAAUGUAACCCCACAAGUGGGGUUUGGGGAGGAUAGGAUGUAUGCAGACCUUGUCUGGAUUUGUUUGAAUAUAAUUCACUAACAUGUUCAUAUGGUAAUGAUGGGUUCGUUUGGAUGCAAAAUGGCAAUGUUAUCCAUACUAGUAGAAACUUAGAAUCUAUCUUUGGUUUCUUUAAGCGGUUUGGUCUCACCUUGUAAGGUUUGAAGUUUCAUUUCUUGUAUUGUCUUGAACAAGUGUAUAUCAAGGAGUAUUUAUUAACUUGUUGGUUGAAGAAAAAAAAUAGAUAUUUCUGUUUAUUGGUUUUUGUCUUCUUGAUAAGUGUCUACUUUAGAACUAUUAUGAAUUGUUCUAGCAAAAUCAACUGCUACAAACAGCUUCACUGAAAACAAAUAGCACAGAAGAAAGUGUCUGGCGGUCUGCUGCUUGGGGAAAAAUUGAUUAUUGAAAACACUUUUGUGUACAUGACAUUAACAUCACUCAUUUUCAGAUAUGAAGUUGGCAUCCAAGAAGUUCCAAAAGAUUUUGCAUUGGGAAGAUUAAGAGGAAGUGAUAAUGUGGUGCGCAUUGUGCACUUUCACCUCCCAUUUUGCUGUUUCUUUGGUCCCUCUUCUUUUUGUUCCAUUACUUUGUUUUCCGUUGGGAAUUUUCUUUUAACUGCUAUGGAGGUUCAACCAUAUCAUACUCGUCGUUAUUAGAUUAUCAAGGUAAAACAUUUUUAAUUGUUUAAAGCCCUUUUGUGAUGUCAUUUUUGUAGUGAUGUAUUACAUCAUGCUGUGAUUUUAAAGAAUUGCUCAUCUUUUACCCAUGCCUAAGGCGAACGCUUUACUUUGUCUUUACUCUUUACACAUCAUCUGGUGUCGCCCUGCAAAACUUUGUGCAGUUAAGGUCUUUGAUUCUAUUCUACCUUAAUCGUAGAAUGUAUCCCUUGUACUAAUUAGGAGGUAAUACAAACAGUAAGAUUAAUGACUUGGUUUUGUCGAAGAAUGACUAUGAUGAUUGAACGUCUGUAAUUUGGAUUGUUUGUCUACAGGUGGAGAUAUACAGCCGUUGUUACGAGAAACAACCUUUGGUUAUCCAAGGCGCUGGAGCAGGAAAUGAUACCACAGCAGCUGGUGUCCUAGCUGAUAUCCUUGACAUUCAAGAUUUAUUCCCUUGACCGAGUAUUAUACACUGAGAUACAAACAUUCGAUCCUCAAAGGAUGAAAAAUCGACUCUUCUUGUCCCUCUGCUUCAAUCAUUGAAGACUGAAAUCAGGCUCAUUUAGCACAUCCAUUUUUUGAAAAAAAAUUCGACACGUGAGAGUGCGUUGUCAGUUUAUGGAAAAUUAUUGCACGAUUUCUCGCGUCUAUCUUGUCACUAGUGAAAUUGAUCAUAUAUUUGCCUCAUUGCUUGACUAGUUUUUAAGAUUUCACUUCAGCUUAUAAUCAGUUUAUGUUGUAAUGACCAUUUUGGUACCUAAACUUUUUAUGUUACUACAAUUUUAGAGACUUAGUUAUUAUGCUUUCAGAAUAACAAAAGGGUUAAUACAACGUGUAGGAUGACUUGAGAAAUCUUUUUGUACAAGGAGAUAUAGGAAGUAAGAUCAUUGUAACAACACGCAAAGAGUGUGUUGCCUUGGUGAUGGGAAAUGAGCAAAUUAGCAUGGAGAAUCUAUAUAUGGACUACCUAUUUCAUUUUAUGAGAAGAGAAGAGAAUUUUAAAAAUGAUGUUGGCCUUUUCUUUUCUUCGACUGUCAGCUAUACAAAACCAAGACAAAUGUUGUAAUGGAGAACUUGUUCCCUCCAGCACUAUCUUCAUUUAUCUUUAUCCUGACAAAAUUUAGAAAGUAGAAAACGUAAAACAAAGAAAAUAAUAAGGAAGAAAGUGUGAAGAUUUACCAAAACUCUUGCUUCCAGUAAUGAAUAGUCAAGAAACCAGACUGGCAGACUCCAUAAUUAUUUUCUAUGGCUGUGAGCUGCAGACUGUAGAUAAAACAUAGUUGUACCAAUUACAAGCAAAAGAGAGGGGGAGAAAUCAUUCUUGAUUAUAUAUCACUCUUAGCUCUUAGCAUUCAACAGGUAAAAUAAAAUUGUUAGUAAUUGAAGUUUGAAACAUUUAUCUUCUUAAAAUCAUUUUAAGAAGAUAUCAUUUAAACCAUAUGGCAAUCUAGCUCGGCAAGAGAUACAUGCUAAAGUAUAUCCUGCUCGGGAUGAAUUCAAGGUUAGAUAAUAAAAUAAUGAUUUACUCGUGUUUCAGUUAUCAAGAUGCUUAUUUUGUAGUAAUAGUUUCCUCUCUCAUAAAUCAGCGAAAUAGAUUUCCUUCAUUGGCACCCUCAUCAGUCAUCAAUCAGCAAAACAGAGAAAUCAACGGUUUCAAAAUUCUCUGGAACCCAUUUCGAGCUUCACGCCUUCAAUUCUGAUGACACAAAAGACAUCAACAGAGUAGAAGAAUUCAACCCAAGUUUUCGACUCCUGCUUCACCUGAUGAGAAGAAGUUUACGGGAGAAAGUUUGCCUUAGGUAUUAAUUUCUAUUUUCGCUGUUUAGAUAUGUUUCCUGUAGCUCCUAAUUGUGAUGCUUCAUUUACACAUUUUUAAAAUUUUAUCUAAUAACAGGGAUACAGUAUGUCCGAGUCAACUUGAUGUUACAAACUUGCAGCUAAUUGUUGUGCGUUAUAUUUUUGCAUAUCAUGAAGAAUCCGGGAUGAAGACAUAGACCCGUAGUGUGAAAGGGGUAAGAGAGUUCCAUCUGCAAUGUUAACAAAAUCUUAUAUAAAAAUAAUAUAUACGAAAAUUAAUUUAUAAAAAUUAUAUACCAAAUUGAAAACUUAAAAUCAAUAUUAUAAAAAUAUUACAUCUUAUAUAUAUAAAAGAGAACCUUAUGCCCGCCUACGUGGCGCCACCACAAACCAGAAUUCUCUUUAAAUUUAUUUAUUUCCAAAACUAGCCUUCCUCUUUUAAUGAAAAGUUGUGACAUUUAUGAAAAAUUGUGAAUUUUAUGAAAAGUUUUGACUUUAACUAGCCUUCCCCUUUCAUGAAAAGUUGUGACUUUUAUGAAAAAUUGCGACUUUAAUGAAGAGUUGUGACUUUUAUGAAAAAUUCUGACUUUUAUGAAAGGUUGUGACCUUUCCGAAGGGUUGCAACCUUUCUAAUAAAUCACAAUAAACAUUUGUUCACAUUACCCUUUGUUGUCUAUAAAUAGAGGGAUUUCCUCUCAUUUUAAAACAACUGAAAUUCUGAAUCUCUUCUUCUUCUUCACAAUUAAAUAUUUGUUUGUUUUGCUCAUGUUGAGUGGCUCAGUGAUACCAUUGCUUAUGUUACAGAUCCUGGUAUGUAUUUUUACAGUCAUUAAUUUAUGCUUAUGUUAUUAAGAAUAAAUGAUAAAGAUGUAAUAAUUUUCAUUUUCCUUUACAUUAUUAAUUUUUGUUACUACGUAAUCUUAUAUGUAAGAUAAUAUAGUGUUUUUGUUUUAAUGACUGAUAGGUUUUUAAGUAUUAUUUUAUAAAUUCCAUGAUACUAUUAAAUUCCCGAGCGAAGCGCGGGUAAUUUUACCAGUAAAAGAUAAUUAAGUAUACUGCGAACUUAAUUAAAAUAUAAAAUUUAUAAUAUGUUAAAUUAAUUUUUUUUAAUAUUAUACAAAUUCAGAGUUGCACAUGUUCACCCUUGUGCUUUGAUAAAAUGCAGAAUCUUAUGUAUAAAAAAAUACAAGAGGUUGUGGUGAAAGUUUAUUUCCAAUAGAAAUACGUGAAUUUGGUGGUAUGCCGUCCCCACCAAAGACAUAACCUAUAUUUAUAAAGAUUAUGAAAACUUACUAGUUCAAGAAAAAAAGAAGUGAUGUAUGAUUGAGAAAAGAAAGGAAGAGAGUUUGUAGCGAGAGAGAGAUAUGGAAAGUUUCGCAAAGAGAGAGAGGCAUAUUUUGUUGUGUAUUAAAUAAGUCUGAAUAUUAUUAAACUUAUUAGCAAAUUUUAUUCGUUUUGAUUCUUUUUUCUUCUAUGGCUGUCCACCCACCAAAAUAAAUAAAAUAUCCUUCCUCUUUUGCCUCAAUUGUUGGCUAAAAGUCAACUCAUGGAAAAGAGACAAUUUAAAUUAUUAUUAUUAUUUUCCUAUAGCUGUCAGUUGUAGAUGGUAGAAAACUAUAGUUGUACCAAUUAUAGAUCACUGAUUAUUCUUGUUUGCAAAUUACUCUUAGUAAUUGAAGAUAGAAACAUUUAUCAUUUUGUGUUGCUUUGCAGAUUUCAGAAAUGGAAAUUGGGUUAGCAGUUGGUGGUGCAUUUCUCUCUUCAGCUUUGAAUGUUCUCUUUGAUAGGCUUGCUCCUCACGGUGAUCUUCUCAACAUGUUUCAGAAUCAUACGAAUGAUGUUCGGAUCUUUAAGAAGCUGAGAGCGACUUCGGAUGGUCUUAAGAUUGUGCUAAGUGAUGCAGAGAAUAAGCAAGCAUCAAAUCCAUCGGUGAGCGAGUGGCUUGAUGAGCUUCGAGAUGGUGUGCACUCUGCUGAAAACUUAAUGAGAAGUUAAUUAUGAAGCUUUGAGGCUUAAGGUGGAAGGCCAGCAUCAAAAUCUUGCAGAAACAAGCGACCAGCAAGUAAUUUGAUAUUUUGAUAAUUUGAUUGAUUCAGGAUGAACGUCGAUCGUAUGAUUACAUGGAUUCACAACCAGAUAUCAACGUCAGGGUCAGAGCUAGAAAAUUUUCUGGAAGGCUGAACUACUUGAAAAAAAUGAAAGUUACAUUACUGCACACAGAUGCGAGAUCAAGAGAAACUUUUUAGAUCUGUUGUCGAUAUUCUUAGCAGUGUAACUCAUGUGCACAUUCUACAGCAAAAAGUACAGUAAGUAGAAGAACUCAAUUUUUAGCAAUGAAAUGGCACCAUUUUCUCACACUCAAAAUGAUCUUAAAUUUCAUGAAUGAAACAAUCAUAUAUUACUUAGCUUGAAGCCCCAUUUUCUUCCUCGUUUUCCCAACGUAUAAAUCCUUAGACUUGCUCAUCUCGGGGACUAAUCCAAUGAUCGUCGUGAAUGAAAAUUGAGCCACUACUUCGAGGCUCGUAUAUUGCAAGUUUGCUUUCUUUUCCUCCGCUCAUCAAAAGUUUCAAGUUCUUCGCGGUCAUUAGAGCAUGUUUUUGAGCCGAAUAUCCUUGUUUAAGUUCCUGAUAGCAAAGAAGCAUUAGAGUUCAAUUGAACAAUAAUAACAUACACAGUAUAGUCUCACAAGUAGAGACUGUGGAGUGUUUACGCAGACUUUAUCCCUACCUUGUCAAGUAAGAACUCAAUUGAAUAAUAGAAUCAAAACUCAAGUAAUAGAUAGCUGCUUCAGGUCCUCUGCCUACUGCUAUAUUAUCAAAAUGCCUUCUAAAUUCGACAUAUAUAUUCUUCAACUGUAGUUUCUCUUGUAACAACAACAACAAAUCCUUAUGUUUCUAUGACCCUUGAUUCUAAGAUUCUCAUCAACCUUCAAUCUUCCAAAAUUAUCGAUUCGAUCCUUCAAAUACGUCUCCCUUAACCACUCUGAACUCGGUGGCUUUCCCGUGCAAAGAAAAUUGGCUGAAUCCCAUGAAAUUACUAGUACAUCUUGACAUCUUUGUAAAAGAGUAGAUCGCAGUCAUGAUCAAGACAAUUGGUUGAAUCCCGUGAAAUUAACUUAAAUCUAAUAUAAAAAUAUUAUACCCUUUAACUUGGCCUCAACUCCUAAAUAUGCCCUCCAACUUUGGAUGUACUCGAGUAGUCAGUUAAAUUUGUAUAAAGUUGAAUAAAUAGAUACAAGCGUCCUAAGUGACAUCUUACAUGACAAUUUUUCAUCUGACGUGUCUUGUAUGUAUUAUGUCACGUAAGACUUGUGUGUCUAUUUGUUCAACUUUAUACAAGUUAAAGUGUUUACUUGUGCAUACCCAAAGUUGGAAGACAUAAAUGUGAAAUGAUGCCAAGUUAAAGAGCAUAUUAUUCAAAAUUCAAAAAUAGGGUUUGAAGUUUCAAUUCCAUUGAUGGAUAACGUUACAAUUUUAGUGUAGCACAAUGGAACUUGGAAUUCAAACAACCACUACAAUAAUUAUCACAUUGAUGCAAUUUUAGUCAAUUCUACUUCCAAUUUGACAAAUUUGGUCAUAAAUUUAUCUUAUUAUCCUUGACAGAAUGUUAUGGAUGGUUCUAAAAUUAUGAAAUAAAAUGUAUUUAUUAGGAUAAAUUUACUUUUUUACCCUUGGUCGUUCUUGGUCUCCACAUUUCUAUAUAGUAGAAAAAUUCAAGAGGUCAUUUUCAGAUAAUUUAACAUCUAAAAGCAUCCAAACAAUGAUCUACCUGGCCUCAACUAUUAGUAACUUUUAAUUAUUAUUUUUUCUUGAUCGGAUUUUGGUAAUGAUUAUGUUCUUUGCUUAGCUAGUGAAAGUUUUAUUUCCAAUAUAAAUAUGUGAAUUUUGGUGGUAUGUGAUCCCCACUAAAUUAUAUGUCAACUCUUUUUUCCCUUUUUAAAAUAGGAAUAAUACAUAAACAAUUUCUUAGUACACGUUAGAACUUACUAUAUAUGCUUAGAGUAAUUGUUUAAUUGUUUAAUUCUACACCAUAACUCCACGUUAUUGCCACUAUACCAAAAAGUCAAUCCUCCCAAUUUGAACCAUCCAUUUAUUCCAACCUACCCAAUAACUUAAAGCUUGAGGCAAUCCUCCCAAUUCGAAAAGUCUUUUUCUCUGAACAUAUGACAUGUAUUUAUUGGUUUAUUGUAAAUAACAAAUACAAAUACGUUUUCACCUAAUCUGAGUUUGUUUGGGGUGUUUUAUCUCUCACUAUCAAGAGGAACUUUAUCACAACGAUUCAAGCUCGAAAUCUCUAAUUAAAUACGAAAAAUUAUAUAUCUUUUUUUUUUUAUAAGGGAAAGAUCCUCUUGAUGUUAUCAAAUUCCCAACUUGGCAUGCUUUAAAGUAUAAAAAAAAUAUUAUGAAGACAGAGUCUUGUUGUUGGGUGAAAAGUCAUCCUCAUGGAAAAGACAGCUUAAAUUCUUUUUUUCCCUAUAGUUGUCACUGUAGAAAACUAUUGUUGUACCAAUAUUCUUGUUUGCAAAUUACUCUUAGCAUUCAACAGGUAAAGUAAAGUUCCUUUAGUAAUUGAAACAUUUAUCUUCUCAAAAUCAUUUUGUGUUUCCUUGUUUUGCUUGCAGAUUUCAGAAAUGGAGGUCGGCUUAGCAGUUGGUGGUGCAUUUCUCUCUUCAGCUUUGAAUGCUCUCUUUGACAGGCUUGCUCCUCAUGGUGAUCUGAUGAAGAUGUUUCAGAAGCAUAAGGAUCAUGUUCAGCUCUUACAGAAGCUGCAGGACAUUUUUCUUGGUCUUCAGAUUGUGCUAAGUGAUGCAGAGAAUAAGCAAGCAUCAAAUCGACACGUGAGCCAGUGGUUUAAUAAGCUUCAGAGUGCUGUGAACGGCGCUGAAAACUUGAUAGAAGAAGUCAAUUAUGAAGCUUUGAGGCUUAAGGUGGAAGGCCAGCAUCAAAAUCUUGCAGAAACAAGCAACAAACAAGUAAGUGACCUCAACCUGUGCUUGAGUGAUGAUUUAUUUCGUAACAUAAAGGAUAAGUUGGAAGAAACCAUUGAAACAUUGGAGGUGUUGGAAAAGCAAAUUGGUCGCCUUGGCUUAAAGGAGAAUUUUGUUUCGACUAAACAAGAAACUAGAACACCUUCAACUUCUUUGGUUGAUGAUUCUGAUAUCUUUGGAAGGCAGAGUGAAAUAGAGGAUUUGAUUGACCGUUUAUUGUCUGAAGAUGCAAGUGGAAAAAAGCUCACUGUAGUUCCUAUAGUUGGAAUGGGCGGCGUGGGUAAGACAACACUUGCUAAAGCCGUUUACAAUGAUGAGAAGGUGAAGGACCAUUUUGGUUUGAAAGCUUGGUUUUGUGUUUCUGAGGCAUAUGACGCUUUCAGAAUAACAAAAGGUUUACUUCAAGAAAUUGGCUCAUUUGACUUAAAGGAUGACAACAAUCUUAAUCAGCUACAAGUCAAAUUGAAGGAAAGAUUAAAGGGAAAAAAGUUUCUUAUUGUUCUGGAUGAUGUCUGGAAUGACAACUACAACGAGUGGGAUGACUUGAGAAAUGUUUUUGUACAAGGAGAUAUAGGAAGUAAGAUCAUUGUGACGACACGUAAAGAGAGUGUUGCCUUGAUGAUGGGUAGUGGGGCAAUCAACGUGGGGACUCUGUCUGAUGAAGUCUCUUGGGAACUAUUCAAACGACAUUCACUAGAAAACAGGGAUCCUGAGGAAUAUCCAGAACUUAAAGAGAUUGGAAAACAAUUUGCAGACAAGUGCAAAGGUUUGCCUUUAGCUCUAAAGGCACUUGCUGGUGUUUUACGCGGUAAAUCAGAGGUGGAUGAGUGGAGAGACAUUUUGAGAAGUGAAAUAUGGGAGCUUCCAAGUUGUUCGAAUGGUAUAUUACCAGCGCUGAUGUUGAGCUACAAUGAUCUUCCUGCACAUUUGAAGCAAUGUUUUGCUUAUUGUGCAAUAUAUCCCAAAGAUUAUCAAUUUCGCAAGGACCAAGUUAUUCACUUGUGGAUUGCUAAUGGUCUUGUACAGCAGUUGCAUUCAGGUAACCAAUACUUUCUUGAGUUGAGAUCAAGAUCAUUGUUCGAAAGGGUCCCAGAGUCUGAAUGGAAACCGGAGGGAUUCUUAAUGCAUGACCUUGUCAAUGAUUUGGCCCAAAUUGCAUCUUCAAAUCUUUGUAUAAGGUUGGAAGAGAACAAAGGAUCGCACAUGUUGGAACAAUGUCGGCACAUGUCCUAUUCAAUAGGAGAAGGUGGUGAGUUUGAGAAAUUGAAAUCACUCUUUAAAUCAGAGCAGCUGAGGACAUUACUUGCAAUCAAUAUCCAGCUCUAUGAUUACAAAAUUAAGCUAAGCAAGAGGGUGUUGCAUAACAUAUUGCCAAGACUAACAUCCUUAAGGGCAUUAUCGUUGUCACGCUAUGAGAUUGUUGAGUUGCCAAAUCACUUGUUUAUUGAAUUAAAGCUCCUGAGAUUUUUGGAUAUUUCUCGGACAAAGAUUAAAAGGUUGCCAGAUUCCAUUUGUGGAUUGUAUAACUUAGUGACACUUCUCCUGUCAUCUUGUGCUGAUCUUGAGGAGCUACCGCUGCAGAUGGAGAUGUUGAUCAACUUGCGUCAUCUUGACAUAAGCAACAUUUCUCUCUUGAAGAUGCCACUAUAUCUGAGCAAGUUGAAAAGCCUCCAAGUGUUAGUGGGAGCCAAGUUUCUUUAGGUGGUUCGAGAAUGGAAGAUUUGGGUGAAGUACAUAACUUGUACGGAUCUCUAUCGGUUGUAGAGUUGCAAAAUGUGGUUGAUAGUAGGGAAGCUGUGAAGGCAAAGAUGAGAGAGAAGAUUCAUGUUGGCAAGUUAUCAUUGGAGUGGAGUGAAAGUAGUAGUGUCGACAAUUCACAAACUGAAAGAGACAUUCUUGAUGAGCUACGCCCACAUAAAAACAUACAAGAAGUCCGAAUCACCGGAUAUAGAGGGGACAAAAAUUUCCAAAUUGGCUAGCUGAUGUUUCGUUUCUUAAGCUAGUAGAAUUGUCUCUUAUAAACUGCAAGAACUGUUAUUCCUUGCCAGCACUAGGACAGCUUCCUUGUUUGAAAUUCCUUUCCAUUAGAGGGAUGUAUGGAAUAACAGAGGUGACGGAAGAAUUCUAUGGCAGUUUGUCCUCCAAAAAGCCUUUUAACGCUCUUGAGAAGCUUGUAUUUGAAGAUAUGCCGGAGUGGAAGCAAUGGCAUGUACUAGGAAAUGGAGAGUUCCCUACACUUGAGAAGCUUUUAAUUAUAAAUUGCCAUGAACUCAGUUUGGAAACACCCAUCCAACUUUCAUGUUUAAAAAGGUUUGAAGUUGAUGGUUGUCAUAAGGUUGGAGAUGCUCAAAUGUUUAGAUCCCAACUUGAGGGAAUGAAGCAGAUUGUUGAAUUAGAUAUUAGUGAUUGUAACUCUAUUACCUCCUUUCCUUUUAGCGUUCUUCCCACUACCUUGAAGAGAAUAGUUAUAUCUGGUUGCCAGAAAUUGAAAUUGGAGCAGCCAGUUGGUGAGAUGAGUAUGUUUCUCGAGGAAUUGAAACUGCAAGAAUGUGAUUGUAUAGAUGAUAUAUCACCUGAGAUGCUCCCAACAGCACGCAGAUUGUUUGUAUGUAAUUGCCAGAACCUUACUAGGCUUUUUAUUCCUACUGCCACUGAAAGUCUCUAUAUUGCUUAUUGUGUGAAUCUUGAAAUACUUUCGGUGGCAUGUGGGAAGACCCAGAUGAUGUAUUUUCCAGAACGUAUGCAGGAACUCCUCCCAUCUCUUAAGACACUGAUUCUAUCUAAUUGUCCAGAAAUAGAGUCCUUUCCUGAAGGAGGAUUGCCCUUCAAUUUACAACAACUUCAUAUCUACAAUUGCAAGAAACUGGUGAAUGGCCGAAAGGAAUGGCAUUUACACAGACUUCCCUGUCUCAGAGAGUUAAGCAUCUACCAUGAUGGCAGUGACGAAGAGAUUGUUGGUGGUGAGAAUUGGGAAUUGCCUUCCUUUAUUCAAAGACUUACCAUAUACAAUCUGAAAACAUUAAGGAGCCAAGAUAUCAGAAGCCUCACCUCUCUUCAAUAUCUAUGUAUUGGUAAUUUAUCUCAAUUUCAGUCAAUGCUAGAAGAAGGGCAGCUCACUUCACUUCAAAGUCUAGACAUCAAUAAUUUCCCUAAUCUCCAAUCACUUUCCGAAUCAGCACUGCCCUCCUCCCUCUCUGAGCUGACCAUCAAUAAUUGCCCUAAGCUCCAAUCCCUUCCAGUAAAAGGGAUGCCCUCUUCCCUCUCUAAACUAUCAAUUCGCGACUGUCCAUUGCUCACACCAUUACUAGAAUUUGACAAGGGGGAAUACUGGCCAAAUAUUGCUCAAAUUCCUACCAUAACGAUCGACGAGGAUUCCAUGUGAUGAUUAAAAAGAAUGACUCUCCAACUGAUGUAACUUAUUCUUUUCCAUCAUAAGCUUUUUACUUUUAUUUACAUCACUUUGCAUUUUUGUUAAUUAUUUUCCUUUUUUAAACCUUUUUGAGCAGUCUAUUGCUCAAACCAUGGCUACUGACCAAAAAUUGCUCAUAUUUCCACCAUAAAUGUUCAUUGGGAGAACCUCCAAUAGAUGUAAGUUUUUCUAUUUCCUUAGUAUCUUUUGAUUUUCGGUUACUUCUCUUUGCUUGUUCCUUAAUUCUUUUUCUAUGUUGCAGAGAUGAAGUCUUGAGGAUAAAAAUAUGUUUUACUCCUCUUGAUAUGCAGAUAUGUUGCAGAGAUGAAGUCGCUGUGAGAUACAUUUAAAGUAUAUCCUGUUUGGGAUGAAUUCAAGGUGAGAUAACAAAAUAAUGAUUUACUCGUGUUUCAGUUACCAAUAUGCUUAUUUUGUUGUAAUAGUUUGCACUCUCAUAAAUCAGCGAAAUAGAUUUCUUCAUUGGCACCCUCAUCAGUCAUCAGUCUGCGAAACAGAGAAAUCAACGGUUUCAAAAUUCUCUAGAACCCAUUUCGAGCUUCACGCCUUCAAUUCUGAUGACACAAAAGACAUCAACAGAGUAGAAGAAUUCAACCCAACUCCCAUAAUGAACCCAAGUUUUCGAUUCCGCUUCACCUGAUGGGAAGAAGUUUACGAGUGAGAAAGGUCUAAAGGUACAAAUAUAUUGUCUUCCCCCUUUCUUAUUGCGGUGCUUAAAUUGGUUUUGCCCCACUUUGCAUCAUAAUGAUGUUGGAGUAUAUCGGUUUUCUACUGGUAUUCAGAUACUUAAAAUGGGAAAUUGCGUUUGAAAAUAUCGUUUUCAUUGUUCGAAUGUUUUUUAAAUCAUCUGUUGAUCCAAAAUUUUCAUUUUUCUGUUGAUCUUCUUCUAUCUUUAGUUUUACAUGUCUUCUGAUUGAGUUAUAAUACAUUCCUUGAUUCUAUAGAAGAUGAGAAAUCGUCAAAUGCCUACAAGUGGAGUCUGCAAAAAGUAGAGUUUACGCAUACUUUAUUCCUACCUUGUCAAUUGAAUAAUAGACUCAAAAUUCAAGUAAUAGAUAGCUGCUUCAGGUCCUCUGGCUACUGCUAUAUUAUAAAAAUGCCUUCUAAAUUCGACAUAUAUAUUCUUUAACUGUAGUUUCUCUUGCAACAACAACAACAAAUCCUUAUGUUUCUAUGACCCUUGAUUCUAAGAUUUUUAUCAACCUUCAAUCUUCAAAAAUUAUCGAUUCGAUCCUUCAGAUGCAUCUCCCUUAACCACUCUGAACCCGGUGGCUUUCCCAUGCAAAGAAAAUUGGCUGAAUCCCGUGAAAUUACUAGCUAGUACCUCUCGACAUCUUUGUAAAAGAGUAGAGAAGUCACGAUCAAGACAAUAGGUGAAUCUCGUGAAAUUAACUUAAAUCUAAUAUAAAAAUAAUAUAACCUUUAACUUGGCCUCAACUCAUAUAUAUGCCCUCCAACUUUGGAUGUGCGCAGGUAGAGACUUAAAUUUGUAUAGAGUUGAAUAAAUAGACACAAACGACCUAAGUGACAUCUUACAUGACAAUUUUCAUCUUACGUGGUGUCUUGUGUGCAUUAUGCCACGUAAGGCACAUGUGUUUAUUUGUUCAAUUUUAUGCAAUUUAAAGUGUCUAUUUGUGCAUACCCAAAGUUGGAGGACACAAAUGUGAAAUGAGGUCAAGUUAAAGGCCAUAUUAUUCAAAUUUCAUAGGGUUUGAAGUUUCAAUUUCAUUGAUGGAUAACGUUACAAUUUUGGUGCAACACAAUGGAACUUGAGAUUCAAACAACCACUAUGACCAAAGAACAAAAAAAACGGUUAACCGAGAGUCCUUGCCCGACAAAAAGCAAGGGUUUGCUUGUAGAAUGGGGGUAGGGCCGACAAUUUUUCUGGAUAGAUCGAACUAUUGGAAGAAAAUAAAAAAGAAAGACCGAGUGUUGUCACAUUGAUGCAAUUCUAGUCAAUUCCAUUUCCAAUUCAUAGAUCUAGUCACAAAUUUACCUUUUUUAUCCUUGGCGGAAUGUAAUGGAUAGUUCUAGAUAUAUGAAGAAAAUGUAUUUAUUAGUGUAAAUUUACUUCUUUACCCUUGGUCUUUCUUUGUCUUCACAUUUCUGUAUAGUAGAAAAGAAAAACACAAGAGGUCAUUUCUAGAUAAUUUAACAUCUAAAAUCAUCCAAACAACGAUCUACCUGGCCUCAACUAUUAGCGAGUUUUAAUUAUUAUUUUUUCUUGAUCGGAUUUUGGUAACGAUAGAUUCUUUGCUUAGUUGGCGAAAGUUUUAUUUCCAAUAUAAAAUGUGAAUUUUGGUGGUAUGUGGUCCCCACUAAAUUAUAGGUCAACUCUUUUUUUCCUUUUUAAAAUAGGAAUAAUACAUAAACAAUUUCUUAGUACACGUUAGAACUUACUAUAUAUGCUUAGAGUAAUUAUUUAAUUCUACACCAUAACUCCACGUUAUUGCCACUAUACCAAAAAGUCAAGCCUCCCAAUUUGAAACCAUCCAUUUAUUCCAACCUAUCCAAUAAAUUAAAGCUUGAGGCAAUCCUCCCAAUUCGAAAAGUCUUUUUCUAAACAUAUGACAUGUAUUUAUUGGUUUAUUGUAAAUAACAAAUACNNNNNNNNNNNNNNNNNNNNNNNNNNNNNNNNNNNNNNNNNNNNNNNNNNNNNNNNNNNNNNNNNNNNNNNNNNNNNNNNNNNNNNNNNNNNNNNNNNNNNNNNNNNNNNNNNNNNNNNNNNNNNNNNNNNNNNNNNNNNNNNNNNNNNNNNNNNNNNNNNNNNNNNNNNNNNNNNNNNNNNNNNNNNNNNNNNNNNNNNNNNNNNNNNNNNNNNNNNNNNNNNNNNNNNNNNNNNNNNNNNNNNNNNNNNNNNNNNNUAGCUGCUUCAGGUCCUCUGGCUACUGCUAUAUUAUAAAAAUGCCUUCUAAAUUCGACAUAUAUAUUCUUUAACUGUAGUUUCUCUUGCAACAACAACAACAAAUCCUUAUGUUUCUAUGACCCUUGAUUCUAAGAUUUUUAUCAACCUUCAAUCUUCCAAAAUUAUUGAUUCGAUCCUUCAAAUAUGUCUCCCUUAACCACUCUGAACCCGGUGGCUUUCCCAUGCAAAGAAAAUUGGCUGAAUCCCGUGAAAUUACUAGCUAGUACCUCUCGACAUCUUUGUAAAAGAGUAGAGAAGUCACGAUCAAGACAAUAGGUGAAUCUCGUGAAAUUAACUUAAAUCUAAUAUAAAAAUAAUAUAACCUUUAACUUGGCCUCAACUCAUAUAUAUGUCCUCCAACUUUGGAUGUGCGCAGGUAGAGACUUAAAUUUGUAUAGAGUUGAAUAAAUAGACACAAACGACCUAAGUAACAUCUUACAUGAAAAUUUUCAUCUUACGUGGUGUCUUGUGUGUAUUAUGCCACGUAAGGCACAUGUGUUUAUUUGUUCAAUUUUAUACAAUUUAAAGUGUCUACUUGUGCAUACCCAAAGUUGGAGGACAUAAAUGUGAAAUGAGGUCAAGUUAAAGGCCAUAUUAUUCAAAUUUCAUAGGGUUUGAAGUUUCAAUUUCAUUGAUGGAUAACGUUACAAUUUUAGUGCAACACAAUGGAACUUGAGAUUCAAACAACCACUAUGACCAAAGAACAAAAAAAACGGCUAACCGAGAGUCCUUGCCCGACUAAAAGAAAGGGUUUGCUGGUAGAAUGGGGUAGGCCGACAAUUUUUCUGGAUAGAUCGAACUAUUGGAAGAAAAUAAAAAAGAAAGACCGAGUGUUGUCACAUUGAUGCAAUUCUAGUCAAUUCCAUUUCCAAUUCAUAGAUCUAGUCACAAAUUUACCUUUUUAUCCUUGGCGGAAUGUAAUGGAUGGUUCUAGAUAUAUGAAGAAAAUGUAUUUAUUAGUGUAAAUUUACUUCUUUACCCUUGGUCUUUCUUUGUCUUCACAUUUCUGUAUAGUAGAAAAGAAAAACACAAGAGGUCAUUUCUAGAUAAUUUAACAUCUAAAAUCAUCCAAACAACGAUCUACCUGGCCUCAACUAUUAGCGAGUUUUAAUUAUUAUUUUUUCUUGAUCAGAUUUUGGUAACGAUAGAUUCUUUGCUUAGUUGGCGAAAGUUUUAUUUCCAAUAUAAAAUGUGAAUUUUGGUGGUAUGUGGUCCCCACUAAAUUAUAGGUCAACUCUUUUUUUCCUUUUUAAAAUAGGAAUAAUACAUAAACAAUUUCUUAGUACACGUUAGAACUUACUAUAUAUGCUUAGAGUAAUUAUUUAAUUCUACACCAUAACUCCACGUUAUUGCCACUAUACCAAAAAGUCAAUCCUCCCAAUUUGAAACCAUCCAUUUACUCCAACCUACCCAAUAACUUGAAGCUUGAGGCAAUCCUCCCAAUUCGAAAAGUCUUUUUCUAAACAUAUGACAUGUAUUUAUUGGUUUAUUGUAAAUAACAAAUACUUUUUCUUUCUCUAAUUACUUGUCCAUUUUUCCUUUUUUAGUUGUCCCUAAUUACUUGUCCAUUUUGACAAAUUAUUUUUACCUAUUAUACCCUCAAUUAAUUACUAUGAAAAAGAUAGAACUUCUUGAAAAUCUUAAAUUUUUAAUUCACCCACUUCAUAAUUUAAUAGGGGUAAAAUGGUAAACUCACUAUGUCAAUUAUUGUUUUCUUAAUAGGUGUGUCAAUUCAAAAGUGGACAAGUAAUUAGGGACAGAGGGAGUACAAUUAAGUUUUCACCUAAUCCCAGUUUGCUUGAUAAUAAUUUACUAUGUGGUGUUUUAGCUCUCACUAUCAAGAGGAACUUUAUCCUAACGAUUCAAGCUUGAAAGCUCUUAUUAAAUAUGAGAAAAUUAUGUGAAUACUUAAUUAAUUAGAUUAUAAUUUAGUAUAGAAACAAAAUAAUGAUUUAACUUUUGCCUAACAUUCUUUCCAUUUUUAGUAUAACUAAUUUCUCAUCACAUGCAUAGCACGUGGAGCUUCGACUUCUGAGUAACAACAAAAACUUGGUUAAACAUAUUUUUUAAAUUACCAAAUUUAAACUACAAAAUAAAGUUUAUUAAUGUUUCUUGAAGAACAUUAUAACAAAUUUACUCCUAUAUAUUUUGACAGACGUUAAUUAGUAAAAAAAAUCAUCCAACACUCUAUUAAUAUUUCUUGAAAAACAUUAUAACAAAUGUGUACUUUUUAAAAUUUUAUUGAAUCUUUACUUAAUAUUUAUAUUGAGUUAAAUAUUAGACAUGGUAGCUUUUGCUUUUAUACCUACUAGUCUUUGGGAACGUGCUUUGCACGUUUGUCCCAUAUUAUUACUAUUAUAAAACUUCUUUAUAUUUUAAAAAUUGAAUUAUAAAAUAGAAAUUGUUGAAAUUUAAAAUAUUAAUUCACUUUCCAUGUUUUCUGAUAGGCACACCAUAUAGUUUAAAUGUGAACAUAAGCAAGGUUGGUUAUGUUUUCAAAUGCUUCACAUCUUAAAAUUUAUGUCAUGACUUUCAGAAACUGGGAAUUCCUCCUCUUAUAGUCGUAUGCAUAACAAGAAGUUGUUGCGAAUGAAAGUAGUAUUUUGUAAAUAUUGAACAAAAAGUUGAUCAAUAUAUGUCUUCUUUAAUAUGGCUAUAAUAUCAUUGUCAAUUUUAUAGAAUACACCUAGUAAUAAAAGUAGUAAUUAUAUUAUGACGAAGAUAAUAAAUUAUUACUGACAUCAAAAAAUUGAAUCAAUAUAUAUUAAUUAUAAUUGCAUGUACAUGUAUAUCCUUUCUUUGAUUCAAGAUUAGGAUUUCUUUAACAUAAGAAUAUUAUUUGUAUGAUUGAAAUAUAAUAAGAAUCAAUCUCUAUUCAAGAACAUUUUCUUUCAUAUGAAAAUUUGACAUAAGAGUAUUACUUGUAUUGUUUAAGUAUAAUUGCAUUAGGAAAUACAAUAAGAAUCAAUCCUUAUUAAAGAACAAGGGACUUGAUAUAAAAAGUUGAAAUAUGUAAAAGAUGUUAAAAAGUAUAAGAUCUAAAUAUCCUGAAAAUUAUACAGAUAAUUUCUCAAAUCUAAAAAAUCUUAUUUCUAUAUUACGUUUCCUACAAACUAUAUUUUAUGUAUGUGAAAUAAUAAAAUUGAUAAAAAGAGAGUUGUAAAUAGCAUAUCCAGUAUGUACCGGAUGAUGAGAAGUGAAGAGCACACAGUUUCCAAACAAAAUCUGAAAUGAAGAGAAAUAAAUAAGAAUUAGUUAGCAAACUCAAGGAAAUCUUCAUAUAUUAAAUAUAUAUUGUUGAGAACUAAAAUGAGCAUAAGAGGAAUAAAGUAGUUACCAAUCAACAAUAUAUAUUUAUAUAUUUAAACUUUUAUGGCAUAUAGCUGCUAAUCUAUAUAUAUUAUAUAAAGCUUAAAGAUGAAAGAUUAAUGUGACUUGAGUUGUAUAAAAUCACUGCACAUGCACUAUAUAUUACUCCAAUUCUAUUUGACAAGGAACAUGAAAAGUUCACAUAACCGUUGGAAGCUCAAGGGAAAAAAUAGUAAAUGUGAGAUAUGAAAUAGUAGGAUUGUAAAUUGAGUUUAAGUAAUCUGUAUUAGGUUAAUUAAUGGGGAGAUGAAAAGAUUUUAUCAAUUAAAUGUAGUUAAAUUACUGAUAAAUAACUUUUUUUUAAAUGAUAAAAUGAUUACUCAACUUUUAACUAUUUAAUAUUUUAUUAUUUACAUGUUUUAUAACAUUUUUAUUUAGUCUAGGGGCAAAAUGAUAAUCCAACUUUGAAUGUUGGAGCUUCCCACUUAUAAUAAUAAUAUAUGAUUAUUAUCAAGGUAUGUGGUCCCCACCAAACUAUAGGUCAACUCAUUUUCCCCCUUUUAAAAAUAGGAAUAAUACACGUUAGAACUUAAUAUAAGCUUAGAAUAAUUAUUUAAUUCUACACCAUAACUCCACGUUAUUGCCUCUAUACAAAAAAAAAGUCAAUCCUCUCAAUAUAGCUUGAGGCAAUCCUCCCAAUUUGAAAAGUCUUUGCGUGAACAUAUGUCAUGUAUUUGUUAGUUUAUUGUAAAUAACAAAUACAAAUAAGUUUUCACGUAAUCUAAAUUUGCUUGGAAUGUUUUAGCUCGCACUAUCAAGAGAAACUUUAUCACAACGAUUCAAGCUCGAAACUUCUAAUUAAAUACGACAAAAUUAUAUAUAUAAAGAAAAUUAUAUAUAACAAAACAACUACAAGGGAGAAAUUUUAAUCAUUUCACUGUACCUCUUGAUGUUAUCAAAUUCCCAACUUGACAUGUUUUCAAGUAUAAAAAAAUAUUAUGAAGACAAAGUCUUGUUGGGGGGAAAAGUCAUACUCAUGGAAAAGACAGCUUAAAUUUAUUUAUUUUCCUAUAGCUGUCACUGUAGAAAACUAUUGUUGUACCAUUCUUGUUUGCAAAUCACUCUUAGCAUUCAACAGGUAAAGUAAACUUGUUAGUAAUUGAACAUACAAACAUUUUAUCUUUCUCUAAACUAUUGUUCUCACUUUACUUGUUUUGUUUUGCAGAUUUCAGAAAUGGAGAUUGGGUUAGCAGUUGGUGGUGCAUUUCUCUCUUCAGCUUUGAAUAUUCUCUUUGAUAGGCUUGCUCCUCAUGGUGAUCUGCUCAACAUGUUUUGGAAGCAUAAGGAUCAUGUUCAGCUUUUACACAAGCUGCAGGACAUUUUGCUUGGUCUUCAGAUUGUGCUAAGUGAUGCAGAGAAUAAACAAGCAUCAAAUCGACACGUGAGCCAGUGGCUUCAUAAGUUUCAGAGUGCUGUAGACGGCGCUGAAAACUUGAUAGAAGAAGUCAAUUAUGAAGCUUUGAGGCUUAAGGUGGAAGGCCAGCAUCAAAAUCUUGCAGAAACAAGCAAUAAACAAGUAAGUGACCUUAACCUGUGCUUGACUGAUGAAUUUUUCCUUAACAUAAAGGAGAAGUUGGAAGAAACCAUUGAAACAUUGGAGGUGUUGGAAAAGCAAAUUGGUCGCCUUGGCUUAAAGGAUCAUUUUGGUUCGACUAAACAAGAAAUUAGAACACCUUCAACUUCUUUGGUUGAUGAUUCUGGUAUCUUUGGAAGGCAGUAUGAUAUAGAGAAUUUGGUUGGUCGUUUAUUGUCUAAGAAUACAAAGGGAAAUAAUCUGGCUGUAGUUCCUAUUGUUGGAAUGGGCGGCCUGGGUAAGACAGCACUUGCUAAAGCGGUUUACCAUGAUGAGAGGGUGAAGAACCAUUUUGGUUUGAAAGCUUGGUAUUGUGUUUCUGAGCCAUAUGAUGCUUUGAGAAUAACGAAAGGGUUACUUCAAGAAAUUCACUCAUUUGACUCAAAGGAUGUCCACAACAAUCUUAAUCAGCUUCAAGACAAAUUGAAGGAAAGCUUAAAGGGAAAGAANNNNNNNNNNNNNNNNNNNNNNNNNNNNNNNNNNNNNNNNNNNNNNNNNNNNNNNNNNNNNNNNNNNNNNNNNNNNNNNNNNNNNNNNNNNNNNNNNNNNNNNNNNNNNNNNNNNNNNNNNNNNNNNNNNNNNNNNNNNNNNNNNNNNNNNNNNNNNNNNNNNNNNNNNNNNNNNNNNNNNNNNNNNNNNNNNNNNNNNNNNNNNNNNNNNNNNNNNNNNNNNNNNNNNNNNNNNNNNNNNNNNNNNNNNNNNNNNNNNNNNNNNNNNNNNNNNNNNNNNNNNNNNNNNNNNNNNNNNNNNNNNNNNNNNNNNNNNNNNNNNNNNNNNNNNNNNNNNNNNNNNNNNNNNNNNNNNNNNNNNNNNNNNNNNNNNNNNNNNNNNNNNNNNNNNNNNNNNNNNNNNNNNNNNNNNNNNNNNNNNNNNNNNNNNNNNNNNNNNNNNNNNNNNNNNNNNNNNNNNNNNNNNNNNNNNNNNNNNNNNNNNNNNNNNNNNNNNNNNNNNNNNNNNNNNNNNNNNNNNNNNNNNNNNNNNNNNNNNNNNNNNNNNNNNNNNNNNNNNNNNNNNNNNNNNNNNNNNNNNNNNNNNNNNNNNNNNNNNNNNNNNNNNNNNNNNNNNNNNNNNNNNNNNNNNNNNNNNNNNNNNNNNNNNNNNNNNNNNNNNNNNNNNNNNNNNNNNNNNNNNNNNNNNNNNNNNNNNNNNNNNNNNNNNNNNNNNNNNNNNNNNNNNNNNNNNNNNNNNNNNNNNNNNNNNNNNNNNNNNNNNNNNNNNNNNNNNNNNNNNNNNNNNNNNNNNNCUCUAAGCAAGAGGGUGCAGCAUAACAUACUGCCAAGACUAAGAUCCUUGAGGGCAUUAUCAUUGUCUCAUUACAAGAUUAAGGAGUUGCCAAAUGACUUAUUUAUCAAAUUAAAGCUCCUCAGAUUUUUGGAUAUUUCUCGGACAGAGAUUAAAAGGUUGCCAGAUUCCAUUUGUGUGUUGUAUAACUUAGAGACACUUCUCCUGUCAUCUUGUGAUUAUCUUGAGGAGCUACCACUGCAGAUGGAGAAGUUAAUCAACUUGUGUCAUCUUGACAUAAGCAACACUUCUCUCUUGAAGAUGCCACUAUAUCUGAGCAAGUUGAAAAGCCUCCAAGUGUUAGUGGGAGCCAAGUUUCUUUUAGGUGGUUUGAGAAUGGAAGAUUUGGGUGAAGCACAGAACUUGUAUGGAUCUCUAUCAGUUGUAGAGUUGCAAAAUGUGGUUGAUAGUCGGGAAGCUGUGAAGGCAAAGAUGAGGGAGAAGAAUCAUGUUGACAAGUUAUCUUUGGAGUGGAGUGAAAGUAGUAGUGCCGACAAUUCAGAAACUGAAAGAGACAUACUUGAUGAACUACGCCCACAUAAAAACAUAAAAGAAGUCGAAAUCACUGGAUAUAGAGGGACAAAAUUUCCAAAUUGGCUAGCUGAUCCUUUGUUUCUUAAGCUGGUGGAAUUAUCUCUUAGCAACUGCAAGGUCUGUUAUUCCUUGCCAGCACUAGGAGAACUCCCUUGUUUGAAAUUCCUUUCGAUUAGAGGGAUGCAUGUAAUAACAGAUGUGAUGGAAGAAUUCUAUGGUAGUUUGUCCUCAAAAAAGCCUUUUAACUCUCUUGUGGAGCUUAGAUUUGAAGAUAUGCCGGAGUGGAAGCAAUGGCACCUACUAGGAAGUGUAGAGUUUCCUAUCCUUGAGAAGCUUUUCAUUAAAAAUUUCCCUGAACUCAGUUUGGAGACACCCAUCCAAUUUUCAAGUUUAAAAAGGUUUCAAGUUGUUGGUUCUUCUAAGGUUGGAAUUGUUUUUAAUGAUGCUCAACUGUUUAGAUCCCAACUUGAGGGAAUGAAGCAGAUUGAAGAAUUAUAUAUUAGUGAUUGUAACUCUAUUACCUCCUUACCUUUUAGCAUACUGCCCACUACCUUGAAGAGAAUAAGGAUAUCUGGUUGCCGGAAUUUGAAAUUGGAUCCGCCAGUUGGUGAGAUGAGUAUGUUUCUCGAGGAAUUGAAUCUGAAGGGAUGUGAUUGUAUAGAUGAGUUGCUCCCAAGAGCGCACAAAUUGAGAAUUUGGAGUUGCCAGAACCUUACUAGGUUUUUGAUUCCAACUGCGACUGAAAUACUCAAUAUUUGGAAUUGUGAGAAUCUUGAAAAACUUUCAGUGGCAUGUGGGGGGACCCAGAUGACGUGUUUGAAUAUUUGGGACUGUAAGAAGCUGAAGUGGCUGCCAGAACGUAUGCGGGAACUCCUUCCAUCUCUUAAGGAACUACAUUUGUGGGAUUGUCCAGAAAUAGAGUCCUUUCCUGAAGGAGGAUUGCCCUUCAAUUUACAAGCCCUUCGGAUCAAAUAUUGCAAGAAACUGGUGAAUGGGCGAAAGGAGUGGCGUUUACAGAGACUCCCCUGUCUCAAAAAGGUAACCAUCUUACAUGAUGGCAGUGACGAAGAGAUUGUUGGUGGUGAGAAUUGGGAGUUGCCUUCCUCUAUUCAAAGACUUUUUAUAGAGAAUCUGAAAACAUUAAGCAGCCAACAUCUCAAAAGCCUCACCUCUCUUCAAUCUCUACGUAUUGGGGGUAAUUUACCUCAAAUUCAGUCAAUGUUGGAACAAGGCCAGUUUUUGCACCUCACUUCGCUUCAACGUCUACAAAUCAUUGAUUUCCCUAAUCUCCAAUCUCUUCCAGUAAAAGGGAUGCCAUCUUCCCUCUCUACACUAGAUAUUCGUGACUGUCCAUUGCUCACACCACUACUAGAAUUUGACAAGGGGGAAUACUGGCCAAAUAUUGCUCAUAUCUCCACCAUAAAGAUCAAUGAGAAAUGCCUUUAAUGAUUAAAACAAAUGGUGCUCUCACAAAUGUAAGUUUUUCUUUUUCCUCAUAAGCAUUCUUUUUUCUUUAACUUCCUUUGCUUUUAUGUUAAUUCUUUUUCUUUAUUACAUUCUCGUUGCGCAGUAUGGAGUGUCUAUUGCCACUCUGAAACUGAGAAAUCAUCUUCAGAUUAUAAUUAUUUUAAUUUUAGAUCUCAUUAGCAAUUAAUGUUACAUAUCUUACUCGAAGAUUUUUAUCGCUUGAACUUUCAUCUCAAUAGCAAUUCAUGUGUUCUUAUUAUUUCCCUUUUCAGUCAGUUUAGAGUCAUCCACAUGUCCACUAUCGAAUUCAAAACUAUAAUAGAAUCCAAAGGUGUACCAUACACAAGAUUUGUUUCCUAUGUAUCAAAAAUACAAAUGUUUGCCUCCCAAUAAAUUUAACACCUAAAAGCAUCAGCACUAUUCAGGUUUUUAUUAAUGAUUCAGCCCCAUCAUAGAGAUCGAUUGGGAAUACAUGUGAUGAUUAAAACAGAUGGCUCUCCAACUGAUGUAAGUUAUUCUUUUCCAUCAGAAGCUUUUUAUUUUUGUUUACUUCACUUUGAUUUUUUGUUGAUUCUUUUCCUUUUUAAAACCUUGUUGAGCAGUGUGGAAUGUCUAUUGCUCAAGAAAGUUGAUUGCUUAAUAUAUGUUAGCAGGAUGUCAUCACCUUUGGAGAUAAAGGGUCCAAGAAAUACAACCUCACUUUCUCAAUCAGGUAGCCAACACCUUGAUAAGAGUUACAUCAAGCUUCAAAUUUAAAGAAAGUGAAAACAACUUAAAUUGCCUGAUUCCAUUAUUGACGUCAUGUUGUACCACAUUGAUUUCAAGUUUGAUGCGACUGCAUUAUUACAUCAGUUUUUUUUUCAUAUUCAAAGAUCCAGAAUAUUACAUUAGUUUUUUGGUUUUGAUAUGCAGAGAACUUUGAGGAUUAUGAAGUUUCCUUCAAAUUAUGUCCGUUACUCAACCUCGAGUGGCACCUUACAGCUAGUGGGAAGUCAAGAAAGUAUAUCCUGCUCGGAAUGAAGUCAAGGUUAGAUAAUUAAAUAAUGAUUUACUGGUGUUUCAGUUACUAAGAUGCUUAUUUUGUAGUAAUAGUUUGCACUCUCAUAAAUCAGCGAAAUAGAUUUCCUUCAUUGGCACUCUCAUCAGUCAUCAAUCAGCGAAACAGAGAAAUCAACGGUUUCAAAAUUCUCUGGAACCCAUUUCAAGCUUCACGCCUUCAAUUCUAAUGACACCCAAGACACAGAAGACAUCAACAUAGUAGAAGAAUUCAACCCAAUACCCAUUUCAACCCAAGUUUUCGAUUCCUGCUUCACCUGAUGAGAAGAAGUUUAUGGGUGAGAAAGUUACAAAGCUGAAAAUAUCUUCUUCUAUCUUUUGUUUUACACAUCUUCUGAUUGAGUUAUAAUACAUGCCUCGCUUCUAUACAAGAUGAGAAACCAUAAAAUGCCUUUAUGAAGUGUUUGCGAAGUUGAUGUCACCUAAUUCAGAUUUCACUGAAUUAAUUUUUGAACCAAAUUAAUGCAUAUGUUUGCUCUAACGUUGAAAAGGAAAAACGUUGAAUGAUAUGGAUAUUUUCCUUUUAAGAAUACAAAGUCGCGAUAAAGGUAGAAAAUUUAGAUGGUAUUAAUUUUGAUAUGGAUCACCGUUGAGAACUUUGCCUGAGGUAUUAAAUUCUAUUUUCCCUCUUUAGAAAUGUUUCAUGUAGCUCCUAAUUGUGAUGCUUCAUUUACAUAUUUUUAAAAUUUGAUCAUAUAACAGGGAUAGAGUGUGUCCGAGUCAAUUUGAUGUUACAGACUUGCAGCUAACUGUUGUGCGUUAUAUAAUUGCAUAUUUCUUAGACACCAGAUAUGACCAAGUUCCAUCUACAAUGUUAACAGAAUCUUUGAUAGGUAAAGGAGGCAGACAAAAAAGCUAAACAUCUUUUUUCUUCCGUAUAGCUCCCAGGCAACUACACAAGGCAAUGCUUGAUAUAAGGGCUUUAGAUAUACAUUUGCAGGGUGUUUAUCGUAUGAGUAAGGAAAUCACUGUCUUCGCUCCCAGCAGACAGUGAUUGGAAGAUCCAUCCUCGCAUCACUUAGCACCUUCCAGCAGGCAAGCCUUUUUUUAAAAAAAUCUUCUCUUGCAUAUACUUUUGCAAUUUUAAACUUCAUUUUGAAUUGUGUUGUUGCUAACUUAAACAUGUUUGUGCUUAAUCAGAUGUGGAUUUUGAAGGGCUGUUGACACCCAAUUUUGACCCUCCCUGAUAAUAAUUAAUUUUCGAGCUUUUUAAAUUUCAAACAAUUUAAAAUAAUUAGCCUUGUAAAAUCCAAUUGGUUUCAAGAUUAUUUUAAGUAAUUUUCGUAGAUUUCUAUAGUAGUUUGAAUAAUAAAUAUAUUUUACAUAAUUAUUUAUGUAUUUAGUAUAUUUUAUAAAUGGUUGAAAUCCAUAUCAAAUGAUUUUUACAGUGUUAAAAUAAGUAGUUUAUUAAUUUGGUUUUAGUGUGAGUUAUAGUUUGAAUUUUGAACUAAUUAGUUUAUAUUUAAAUCAAUUACUUUGUAAUCAAGUUAGUUAUUUUAUUUUGUAUAGAUUAAGAAGCUCAUUAAUUAAUUUAUAUAAUUUCAUCUUGUCGAGCUUUUGGCCGAAUUCACAAAUCAAUUUCCAACCGGUUAAAUUUUCAACCUCAAUUGAUCAUAAUUUUAAUCGUAAUCCCUUUUUUUUUUAUUUCUAAGCUUGGUUCUUUUAUUUUUGCAAUCCAGCAGCCCAAACACUUAAAAAACAACCCAUCCCAAACACCAAUUUUCAGCUUCAAUUCCCAACCCAAUAAUUCCUGUGACCAAGCCCAAUUUCCCCUUUAACCCGGCCCACCCCAAUUCUAAAAGAAAUCAAUACAAUCCAAUGUUCCCUUUUUUUUCCUCUGUCAACGCAUCAAAUUCACGGCAACAACGACAAUCCCAAGCGGCGUGAGCAACAAUUCCUAAACGACACCAACAACAGCGUACAAACGACGCCCUAAAGUCCAUCAACUCACGGCGAUUCACGGAAAGCUCACGGCGCGAGAAAACGCGUGCCUAGUACAACAACAUACUGCUAUCCGUCGCCCUCUUCGCUGCAACAGUGCAGUUGCAGCAGCUGCUGUAACAGCGCAGGGUGUCCUUGAGGACGUAGGAUCGAGACACGUAGCAUCUCAAGGACAUCAAAUUGAUUGAAGUCGUCCAUCGCCCUUUCUCCUUCCGGAAUGAGACGAAUUUUCAAAGAAAAGGUGUCGUCCCAAAACGGGAAAAGAAUUUUUUGAAUUUGGAAUGGGCCUCGUUUCACCCGUUCUUUGCCCUAAUUUGAGGGAUAAAUAGUUCCGGAUCCUUCAGGUUUUAGGCAGGAUUUUCAGUUGCUGGAAAGGAAGAUAUAUAAACAUAAGAAUACAUAUAUAAAUGGAGAGCGAUAUUUAGGCAAAAGUCGACAAGAAAUUUGAUUCUUGUGUUCGCCUCUUGCAAGGCUCGUCGGAAUCUCGUUGUGGUAUUGGAGUUGCUGUUUCUCUGCUCGUGGUUCUCGGUUUCGCUGCACCCUUGAAGGUAACACUCAUCUCUCUUCAAGCAUAUCUUGCUCAUAAUGUGUCGUCGCUUGAUUCUUAAUGCGUGAGCCGUCUGCGUGAUAAUGUUUGGAGAAUACUUCGACUCAUUGCUUAUCAUAAAUCAGUAUGUAGCUGGUUUGUCUGCUUCUGGACACUGAUAAGAGUUGAGUUUUUCCGCCUCAUUUGUCUAUUGCUGCAUCUGUUGAUUUAUGUUGGUUAUAUUGUGACCUGGACUUUUGCAAAUGUAUUGGAAUAUUGGGUUUUUAUUGUUAUUACUCUUAUUGUCCUAGUUUUUCUAUAACACCUCUAUGAUCGGUUUCAAAAUUCCUAUUAAUCUUAUUCUGUGUCUAUUUGUUGUAAAUAUGCUUAUGGCUCAGGUUCUAGUGGCAAAUCGUAAUGUAUGCUUCAUGUUUAUUUGGAUUUGUUCACUUCGAUUUAAUAAUGAAACUUGUCAAAAAUCGGUGCUUACCUUAGCCCAUAGGUUGUUAUCUCCGAUAAUCUUAUGUUGCUAUUCAGGGGUCAAGCGUGUCGAAUUAUUAGCAGUCUAUCUAGCUAACGGUGUUCAUCAUAAGUAGCGGUUAUAUUCUUCUCAGAUAGUAGCUUAAGCUUUAACUGAUUUUUACUACUUUAGCAUGAUAUAACUCACCAAAUAUUUGAGGAAUCAGAUUAUUUCCCUUGGAUUUUCACUGAUGGUUGGCCCGUACUUGAGUUACUGUAAGUAGAACAUUUGGUCACGACUCGUUAGCUUAUCCACCAUAUAUUUAAUUCUUCCUGCAAAUAUUCAAAUGCUUGUCCUAUAUAAAAAAAUAAUAAUAUAUAUAUAUAUAUAUAUAUUAAUUUCUAUCCAUUAGUUUAUAGUGUUAUUUCCAGUGAAGUCCUUGAAUAUGCAUUUUAGUUGUUUGUGCUAGUAGCUGUUCAAUUAAAUAAUCUUUUUAUGUCUCAUAGUUUGAUGAAUCCAUGGCUGUUUACUGCUUCUUCGUUAGUAAAAUCGCUUAAUGAUGAUCAUGAAUUACUCAUGUUAAUUCUUUCCUUCCACUUUCCUUACAUGUGAUGCUUCGCCGAGUCUAUUUGGACUUUUCCCAUUGCCUCUUUGCAUUUUCGAGUAUCGAGUCAGCCCUCCGAUGUUCAAGAGUGAAAUGGAAUUGGCGUACAGGUGUUUGGAGCUGAUAUACGGGAUUGUAUACAUUAGUAUACACCUAGUGUAUACGAAAAAAUGAAAAAUGGGCAUAAAGUAGCCUUAAAUUUUCAGCUUUUGUAUUUUUGUAAUUAUUGGACUAAAAGCCCAUUUAUUUUGAUUAUUAUUGUGUUAGUUUAGGACAGGUACCAAGUGUUGGGCCAAAAGCCCCAAAAGCAGAAAUCAGGCCCAAGUAUUGGUCCAGGCGAACAAAAAAAAAAAAAAAAUCCAAACUUGGGCCCAACUCUCUUUCCCUCUUUACUUUAUUGUGUUCAUUUACUUACUAGUAUUUGUCGUUAGUCUUAAGGUCGAAAAAUUCAAAUCCCCGAAAAACGUCUAUUUUGAUUUAAUAAUUUAACUAAACCAGUCAUCUCUUAAACAAGACUUAAAGGAAUAAUUUUGCAGGAUAGCUCACUUAGACAAUAUUUAAAUAUUUCCUCUUUUCCCCCUUUAAAAAUAAGUUUUAACUAUAAAAUAGAUCAAUUUCGCAAGUCAAGCUAAGUUAAAAUUAUUUUAGUCAAGUAGUUAAUCGUCGGAUAACCACAUUAGUGGAUAUUUUAGGUGUCUUUAAAACCAUCCUAGAAUAUUAAUAAGAACCUCGAACCCCCCUUUUAAAAUUUUCAUUAGAUUCCAUGUUUUAAUCUUUUGAAAAAAUAGUUUUCUUGAUUUUUCUUAAAAAUUAAGUGGCGACUCUAAACCAGUCCAAAAUAAUAUUUUCUUAAAUAAAACAAGGGCGAGUACGACAAAUCUGGUCCAUCCAUUGUCCACAAGAAGUGCUUCUAAGGUGUUGCUGCUAUUUUUACAUUUGUUCGCGAGUUCUUUUUUAUUUUUUUUGUUCUUUCUGCUAAAGCUAUUAUGUCAUCCACAGUGAACUCAGGUCUGCUGUUAUAGGCAAGUCAUCGAGAUGGGGCUAUCAAAGAAGGGUGAUUAAAAACAUUGUACCGCUGAUACUAUUUCAUGUUUCCAGUGCAAGCCUCUUUUGUAAGUUGACAAACUCGAUUUGUAAAUAUGUUUGGGACUCAACUAGUGGUUAGAGUAUUGAUUUUGUAAGAUUUUUGUCCAGAAAAUCAAAUUAGAAAGAUUACUCGCGAUGAUUGAAUAAGCUCGAAGAAGUGGAUUUGAAUUUCAAUUCGUGUCUUUUUUUUAUGUGUGUGUGUG
This 57390-nucleotide long non-coding RNA is filed under the name Solanum tuberosum (potato). RNAcentral's name for it is "long non-coding RNA (STUB_LNC011005)". The record is from RNAcentral. Lineage: Eukaryota; Viridiplantae; Streptophyta; Magnoliopsida; Solanales; Solanaceae.